Molecule: long non-coding RNA, 88678 nt
Filed under: Lactuca sativa (garden lettuce)
Lineage: Eukaryota; Viridiplantae; Streptophyta; Magnoliopsida; Asterales; Asteraceae
Description: long non-coding RNA (LSAT_LNC007447)
Source: RNAcentral
UCAUAAGAUUUCCUCCUUCAUGAAAAUGAUUGUGAGGAAAUGCUUUCACUAAGAAAGAUUUUAAGAAGAUAGUGAUUGUAAAAUUGCAUUCUCGAAUUCGAUUAUGGUUACGGUAUCCCUUUCCAUAAUUUGAAUUGUGAGGUUUGGCAAUUAGUCUUAAUUGUUUAGACACACAUAUGAACUAUCGAAGGCAAAGGUGUAUAAGUUCAAGAAGCCUUGAUAAAAGAUUAUCAAAGCACUAAGUAUUAGAAACAUGAACUUAAGAAAUUCAAUAAGUAUUGUUUUUCUGAAAGUUAAGAUGUUUAUGAAUACAUGUCGAAGCUAGUGGGAGCAUAAGUGUUAUGUUUUAUAAUAAUCAUCAUGAUAGUGGGAGCAUAAAUGUUAUGAUUGUAUGAUUAUUAAGGCACGUAUUGCAAGUUGGCAAUAUUAAUUAUAGAAAACAAGAGUUAUACCUUGCAAAGUCGUAAGGGUUGUAAAGUUGUUUUGCUAUAAUUAAGGGAGAGAAUAUUAUGCUUCAUUUCAAAUCUAAAGGAUUAGGUUGAGAAAUGUUAAUAAAUUUAGUCAAAGGUACAUAGUGUGUUCUUAAAAUUUCGAUUAUGAUUACGACAUUCCUCUUCACAAUUCGAAUUUUGAGAACAUAGCAAAUAAAACAUUAUGCGUCGUGUCCCAUACGCUUCGGGUAUAGGAUCGAUUGCAAAUGCUUUAAUGUUUGACCAUUCUAAAAUUUUCCAAAUGUCGAGCGCAUUUAGAGGGAAAAGGGACUAGAAUUGGUUUUGACUAAAAUAAUUAAACAACUAUCAAAGGACAAUCCAAAGUUCGACGAGGAUUGGUCGCUUGUGAGUAGUUGGAAGCAUGGUAUUGGAUGGACCAUAUCGACAUUAUUAUGAAUAGAAAAGAUUCUAUUAAGAAUGAGUUGUCAUAUGGAAAUUAUGGAAAUGUUUCCAUAUUGGAUGGACCAUAUCGACAUUAUUACGAAUAGAUAAGAUUCUAUUAAGAAUGAGUUGUCAUAUGGAAAAUAUGGAAGCGUGUCCAUAUUGGGAAUUGAAUAUUGAAAAUCUAUGUCUAGAUUAGAAACUUUUAUGCAAAAGGAUGUUCAAAGGAAUGUACUUUGAGUGAGAGACAUCAUAUCUAAGGAAUUGUCUUGUAACAAUCUCCGAUAGAGGACUUUGUAAUAUCAUUGGCAAUAGUCUUUGUGACUUUGGUGCAGUGACAUUACGAAAGGAUCAUUGCAUAGAAUGUUAGAAUCUAGCAUAUUCUAUAAGUAGCAAGAAUUUGAUAUUCUUUCACUUAUGAAAAAGGAUUUGGAGUUGUGAAAUGAGAAUGAUUGGAAAUGUGUUCAAUUUGAUCUAUUUCACAAAGUAAGAACCAUAGGUAAACAUUGUGUGCAUGCUAGGAGCAUGGGACAAGUGUUGUAAUUCAAGUAAGAAGUUGAUUACCCGAAACGACAAAUAAUGAGUAAUCAAUAUGGUGAUAAAUAAAAGGUGUUUUAUUUAUACUCAAAGGUUUGAGGCCAUAUGGGAUUAGUAUUAUUCUUGUGUUUCACAUUUGCAUGUUUUGACUUCCAGAAUAAUUGAGUUUAUUAAGAAUAAUCGAAUUAUUCGAACGGGCCACAGUCGUUCAUAUGUUGGAAGUAGAUAUGAAUGAAGACUGUCGUGAAUUGGUGUGUGGAUUGUCUAAAAGAGUAUUAGACAUAAGCAAAUGUUUGCUGCAACGUUCAUGAGUGCUUAUGAAUAUGAUUUGAGCAUUGGAUUAAACCCACGCUCACUUGGAUCACUCCAUGAAUUGUAUCACGAGUGAUUGGUGAGACGAUAACAUCUUAUAUUCUUGAAACCGAGAUGUGUGAGUUGUAUCUUGCAAAUCGGUUGCACAUUGAUAAUAUGUAAACGCACUAGUAACUUGGUGUUAUAAAACAUAUUGUUGUGUGUGAUUCGGUGAGUGAGUGCAAGCAAGCAUUGUAUCAAAGUUUAUCCGUUCCUUUUAUCCAAAGUAGGAUAAAAGCGAUAUCUUUGGGCCCCUCGAUGAUUUAGUGAUGACAAACGUAAAUGCUCGGCCGGGCUAGGGCUAAUUUGAUUUGUUCAAUUAGUCAGUCGUCAUAAAUCGGAAAUCGAGAUAUAGUACAAAGAGAAUGAUUUGAAAUCAUAUCUCAUAUGAUAUCUAGAAUGGAGGAAUAUAUGAUCCCUUAUCUAAGGACACGCGUAUCUGAUAGGAUCAGAGUUGACAGCGGCUUUGGAAAGCUACGAUUGCAGAUCAGGAUCUGAAGUCAUACGCAUAAUAGUUAUUAGACUUAUCCAAGUGGGAGACUGUUGGAUUAGUGUCUAAGUCCAUAACUAUUUUGGUAUGUACUUGACCCGAUGGUGCAUGGUCCUUUUGGGUUGCCUUCACCAAAGCAACUUGAUAGGAUGAAUUAUGGAGAGAAAGGAUUAAAUAUGAUUUAUUAAUAUAUUAUGAGAAUAAUAUAUUAAAGGAGAAAUCAUAUUGUUUAAUUAAUAUUAGUCAAGAAUUAAUUGGUAAUUAGUUUUGUGACUAAAAGAGAUUAAUUAAACUUAAGGGACUGGAAUUGUAAUUAUAAGAUAAUUGCAAUUUGGGCCAUGGAUUGCCUUAUAUUAUAAGGUGGACGAAUUCUAUGGGGGAAGCCCAUAUGAAAUCGUCCAAGGCCUUAAGGAAAGGGCUCCAUGGGUUGCUUAGGGCUUAAGCAUCCAAAUUAGGGUUUCCUUGUUAGAUAACCCUAAUAGCCUCACUAUAUAUAGAACCCUUAAGGCUCAAAAACGUGGGGAACUUCUUUUCUAGGGUUAGAACACGUUUUGGGCAGCCUCCAUCCUCUCUCCUCUUCAUCCUCUUGCUUAUGGUGUUUGUGAGCCAUUAGAGGAGUGACACUUGUGACUCUAAGCCUUCCAAAGUCAAUUCAAGGAGGAAUUGGGAUUGUUAUUGCUACAUAACAAUCAAGGUAAUAUCAUAAACCUAAUUAUAUGUUAAUAUUGAUUUCCAUAUGCUAGAAUUAGGGUUUAUAGUCUUGGAUUCAAAGCAUGUACAAUAGAGAAACCUAGAUCCAAGCAUUAGGGUUUGUAUGAGCACAUAGGAUGUCUUAUGACCAAAACCCAUCAGUGGUAUCAGAGCCUAGAUUGGUUUCUAUUGUAUUGAUGCUUGAUAUGUUUGAAAAUUUCGAUUUUUUGGUUUCUGGAGGCUGGACUCGCCGAGUCCAUGGCUGAACUCGCCGAGUCCAUGCAGACUCGACGAGUCCAAGCCUGACUCGACGAGUCAACUCGUCAGAUGGAGGGUAUUUCGCGAUUUCUUGCUGUUUUUGCUUAUGGAUAGUUACCUUAUCAUAUUAGAUCAAUAUAAAUCCGAUUUUUUGAUAUAUAUGACUAUAUUUUUGAUCUAAUUGAAGAUAUUUAUCAAUUAAUAAGAUAAUUGUUUCCUUAUGUGAUAAUUGAUUAAUUAUUUUGACUAAAUUGAUAAAUUGUUUUGCAAGAAAUCAUUAAAUAAAUCAAAUAUGGAUAAUUAUGUGAUUAAAUGUUAAUUUAGAUUAUUUGUUAUUUGAUCCUUGUUGUUAUGAAAAGUUUCAUAUUUUCCCCUUUAGGUUUUAUAGUUUAAAUUUGAACCCAAAAGUUUUGUUGUUUUGAAAUUUAAAUAGUUAAAACCCUAAUGUUUUGAAAAAGGUUUCAAAACUUGCCCUCAAGUUUUGGAAUUUAAAUUUUGAUUAAAUGGUUUAAUUUUGAUGUAUAUUUAAAUUCUAAACCCUAAUGUGUUGAAAUGUUUCAAAACUUGCCCUCAAGUUUUGGAAUUUAAAAGUUGAUUAAAAGUUUAAUUAGGAAUGUUAAAUUCUAAAACUCUAGUAUAGUUUUGAAAAAGUUCAAAUCACACCCUUAUGGUUUUAUUAAUUAAUUAAGGUGUAUAAUUAAAAGAGGUUUAAUAAAUCCAUAAAAGUUUAGGUUUACAAUUUAAUUGAAUUAAAAGUAUAAUUGUUAAAUUAGACCACCUAGUAUUUUAAAAGUAUAAAAUACACCCUAUACUAUAUAUAACAUUAAAAGUCUAACAUUAUAUAUAUGUAUGAGUAAAAGUCAGUCUUACCGUUAGUAGGCCUCAUUCACGAAGCUGGUCUAUAAGGGGUGUUUAAGGAAAUUGCCUAUAAAAUGGCGAUUGAAUGGGUAUCCACUCUUACCCACCGCACUCUUGACUAGUGGAGGGUCGUUAGCCGAACGGGUAGGAUAGGACGAAACCUUCCAUUAUAAGUAUAAUGAAUUAUUAAAGUAACUAAAUGUUUUCAUAAAAUUCCCAAUCUUAGUUACUUAGGCAAAAGUGAAUUGAUGCAAUUCCAUGAAAUUACACUUUGUGCCCUUGCGAAGACGUUAGUGGAGCGUGUGUGGUUUACCGGCACACUAAAUGGUUCUAAGCAAAGGUAGCAAAGGGUGACUCAAUGUUUGUCAUAGUUCGGUGGAGCGUGUGUGGUUUACCGGCACAUCGAAUAGGUGACUGUAACAUGUGAGGGCACCAUGUAAGUUUGCAUGGUUAUUCACACCCGCUUUGUGAUCCUCGGCAUCCCAGUCACAAACAAGAGGGGCAUAUCGAGAUUUAAACAUGCCAUUGAAAGUUCAAUGAAUCUCAAAGGAUCUAGGAGUUUUCAUAGAUUUAAAACUUAAAUUUCUUUUUCGUUUUUCAUGGUGGAAAUUAGUGAAUCGUCAUUCACUUACCUUCAAAUAUUCUGCAAUUAGGGUUACGGCAUCCCUCUCCCGAGUUGUAGAAUAUUGUGUUGGGUCCUAGCCUUAGUAUCUCAUUUGGGUGAUUUACUAAGGACUCAAUCAAUCAACUAACUUGAAUUCGUUUUCUCCCGUUUUGUAGAUGUCAAAGUUCGACAACUAUGGUCUUCCCAAAUCCCGUGGAACAAGCAUUCCACAUGAAGAUGAUAUUCCACGAUUCGAUCGAGGAACAAGAAAUCAUGCUUCACUUCCUCCUCCUCCUCCAAUUAUUCUCCCUAACCCACAAGUUCAAAGGCUUGAAAAGUUCAAGAUCACUCAAGCCCUUUUGGCAAGUAAACAUAAAGAAGGAAAGUCGGUGUGUGCACACGUCCUAGGGAUGAAGUCACACAUUGAUAGGUUAAGAAUGUUGGGAUCCGUUGUCUGUGAGGAAAUGGCUGUUGAUUGGGUUCUUCAGUCACUUCCUAACUCAUAUAGUGAGUUCGUAAGAGAGUACUAUAUGAUGAACCGCGACGUGACCCUUAUAGAUCUCACCUAUAUGCUUAUUGCUGCUGAAUCAGCAAUGGUUUGGCGCAAUAGAAAAGCAAAGUUGAUUGGUGAAUCUGCCUUCAAGACCUCUAUGGAUAUAGACAAUGGCAACGAAAGACAUGCUAUGAUCGAAAAGUUUGAUCAUAAGAGAAAGGCAAUGUCUGAAGUAGUUCCAUGUCAUGUUCCAAAAGAGUCAAUUUGCUUUUAUUGCCAAGAGAAAGGGCAUUGGAGACGAAGCUGCCCCAUUUACCUAAGAGAUCUAAGAGAUGGGAGAGUCGAAACGUAUGGCUCUAAUAUAGGUAAAAUCCAUUAACUAACUCUUUUAAGCUUCUAUUCUAGAUUCUUAAUACAUAAUGUGAUAAGAUUACAAUUGAUGUUUUGUAGGAUCGAAGCAUCCCUCUCCCGAGUUGUAGAAUAUUGUGUUGGGUCCUAGCCAUGAAGGAAUGGAUUUCGAUCGCAUUUCUCGAAGAUUAGAUUCUUGAGCUACUACUUAGAGUUAGAAUUAGAUUGCUAAGAAAGAUGUAUUAGCAUAAGUUUUUCAAUGAAUUGCAUUGUAAGGACAAAUUUUUCCGCAAUAAAAUAAAUUUUGAUUUUAAAUUUUAUUUAUUUAUCCUUACAAUGGCGUGUAUGAAAAAUUGAUGUUAAAAUGUUUCUAUUAUUAGCAAUAAUGGAUUUGGUUCUUAUUAUGUUAUUUAUGGAAAGUCGAGAAUUUACCAAAUAGGGAGAGUUUCUCAUCGCCCAAGUUUCAAUUGGACAUAAACUUGGAAUCAUGCAACUUGGUUGCACGAUGAAUGAGAAAUUUCAUAUUUGGAAAUUAGACUAAUUCAUUGACAAAGUGUCAAGUGAAGGACUAGGAGAUCGAGUACACAAAGUUGCGUGUUGAUCAAGUCCACCAUAAGAGUAACAAAGAUAUUCGUCAUGAUUUACUAAAGGUUUAGUAAAUAUGAUUAUACUUACAUGAUUAGGUGUAAUUCUGAAUUGUUUAAAAGGUUUAAAUCAAUAGCAGAACGAAUAAGAAGAAUCAAGUAGGCAGAAAGAUAAAAGUUUCUCCAUUCUAAGAAGAAGGGAGAGUAGCUUUUAUGCUUUAUGAUAGGUCUUAAUGAUUAAGAACCAUAUCUCAAUUGAUCCACUAAGUGAGUCUUAGUGCAAUUGUAUGUUGGAGAAGAGGAAUCAAGGAUUGAAGAAAUGGUUAAAUCAAAAAGUCAAUCAUACUUCGUUCCAAAACAAGUCGUAGAGUUAAGAUUGUGACAAUGAGUGACAAAUAUUAAGAAGGUUUAUAACAUUCAUCAAUUGUGGAAAGUUGUGAUGUCUUGGAUAAGACAAAGACCAACUAAGACCAAAGUUAUGAAGUGUUUUGUCUUGAUAAAAGCUACACUAACUCUUGAAUAUUUAUUUGUCAAGAAAUGUUUUGACAAGAGAAUCUUAUAUGUCAAGGAGUCAGUGGGAGUCUUAAUGGUAUUGAAAGGUUUCAAGAACAAAUCAAAUAAACCUUAUCAAUCAACACUAGCACACGAGUUGAGGUUUACAACCUAUCGUGUUGACAUCAUUUUGUUUCUGUGCCAAUCCAAUCGAGCUAAUUAUGCAUGUGAGUUCUAUGAGUUCUCAUUUUGAACGCAUAAAAGGCAAAGCACCUUAAUCAAUGAAAGGUACAUUGAUAGGAAAGGGUGAGUUGCUUAACUACUUGGAAGACAUGGUGGGCAGCUGUGCUACCAUAUGGAUUGUAAUGUUAAAACAAUGUACUUGAAGUGAAUAAUGUCAGUUGUAAUAUAUUGAUGCAUGGUGAUGUUUAUAUUAUGAUUCAUGUAUAUUCAUUGUGAUGAUAUUGAAUUUAAGUCACACGAGCCCUCAGAUGUUUCCUCCAUCUGGUUUGGGGGUAUGAUAGAGUCCGACUUGGAUAAAUGCUAUGAAGUGAGUUACUUGGUUUAGGGAACCAUGUUCGAUGUAGCAUAUGAAUUUAGUCAAGAGAUCGAAGGGAAGGAGAAUCAAAGUGAUCAACAAAAGAAUCAAAAUCUUUGUUAGGACUAAGCUGCAUGUUGUUAGAAAUGCUACCUACAAGAAUAUAGCACUUUAGAACAUGAACGAAGAAAUCCUCCAUGCUAAAGUCUAACUCAAAGAGACCAGAGUCUAGCCAUUUCAUCAAACGAUGAAAGGUCAUUAGAACAUGACCUAUAUGUUUGUUACAAUAGUAAAAGUAAAGACCAUAUCUAAGGAUAAGUUAAUUUUAGAAGGAGGAAGACCCUCCAAUGGAGAUCAAAUUUAGAAGGAAGAGGAAGUGCAUGAUUGAGUACCGCCAUCAAUUAUACAAGAGUUACGAUUUUUACCUAGGAUGGAAAGGUAACGUGGAGAGUCAUUAUACAAGCCCUGGUUUGUUGAUGAUUCUAGGACAUAAUCAUCCCAAGAGGGAGAUAAUUUUAACACCUAUAGAUCCAGCUAGUCAAUUAAGAUAUUAUAAGCAAUAUAAACAAAUUUUUGAUAGAAGGUUAUUUAGGAAAAUAAACUUAACCAAAGAUAUAGUAUAUGUGACAAGGAUUCCGUACAUAUAGAGAACGCCUAAAUCUGACUUCGUGAGAGGAAGUUACGAUUUUUCUAAUAUUUUAACAUAGCAGUAUAUGGCUCAGAAACCGAAACAUAAAUCAGUCUAUUGUUAGGAAAAAACAAUCUAAACAAGAGUUGAAUAUCUCGUUAACACCUAUCCACAAUUUUGAGAGAGUGAUAAAUUUUUAACGGAGUUUGUUAAAAAUAUAACAUUAAAAAUAAAAUCAAAAUUAGCCAACAUAGUCUAAAUGAAAAUUGUAGAUCUCAUCGAUAGCUAUGUGGGGAUAUAAAAUGGAGCUCAUGCAGAGAAGAUAUACGUUUAAAAAAAAAUAAGAAUUCUCCAGCCACACUCACACACGGCGACCACAUGCAUGAUGUACAUAUGAAAUACCACAAGAAAUAGACACAUAUCACCAUAGAGAAGUUUCCAUGUCACCUCUUCUUAAAAUAUGCACGAUGCAUACAAAAUAGGUGUGCGACGUGCAGUUCAAAUUCAGCUAUAAAUAUCAGUCUAAAUUUAGUCAUUUUCUCACAACUUUUCUUCCAUAAGUCUCUAAAUUUCUUUUGUAUCUCUCAUACUUUUUACUUUCUAUUUCCCGACCCCUUCGGUGAAGCCCUCAGGUAUCAGAUAGCAAGUGAAUAGAAGCUCUCGGAUCUGAGUUCUCUCCGCAAAAUUCCCAGGCUUUUAUCAAAAUACUCCAUAAGUUAGGUUACACUAUUUUUUUUAGUGUAACUCAUAUUUAUAGUCAUAAGUCAUUAUUCUAAACCUUUAAAUAAGAUUUAUAAAUAAUUCUAAGUCAUUAUACUAAUUGAUCUAAUUAUUGGAGUGAUGUCUACACUUGAUUUAGCGAGGUGGUUAAAGUGAGAUUUCCAAAUAGUAUACUCCUAUUACCAAACGGGCCCUACCUCUGGUAUGAUCCUACUUGGUUUUUACUUACUUGAUAGAUCUUCAUGUAGAAAUUGGGAUUAGUGAGAAAUCUAGACUAUCAUUAGUCACCAAGAAUUUUAGACUAAGACUUAAUCACAUUUGAUCUAGAUCAUGUCAAAGGAAAAUUCAAGGAGUUUGGUGGAGCGUAGCCGAAUUCUCCAGUCACCUAAGUUAGGUGAGUGCAUAGUCCCUUUAUAAAACAUUAUUUUAAUACAAGUAUUAGUUAAAAUAUUUAAUAUAUGUUAGAGAGUCUAUAUAUGAACUAUAUUCUUAUUGCCUAGAAUAUAUGUUAGGAAUAUAUAUAUAUAUAUAUAUAUAUAUNGGGCAAACCAUAUAUGGUUCUAUAUAUGCUAUAGUAUAUAAAUAAUAUUAUUAUGUGAAGAUAAAUAAUAGAAGUAUUAUUUGUGAAAAAUAUAAAGAAAAUAUAAAUACUCUAUGUUAAUAUUAGGACACGGUUGCCUAAAAUAUAAUUGGUAUUUCGAGAAAAGUUCAUAAGUCGGGUAGUCUUGCCUAUUAAGGAAAUACAACUAAGUUCCAAAACAUGAUGACAGUUCAUGAGUCUACUAUGAAGACUUUAAUAUCUAAAAGAAAAGAUUAUUCAGAGACCAUGAGAAGUUUGUAACUUCGACAACUUCAAAGAUGGAAGAAGCGUUGAAUGAAGUCAUGGGCCGUAAAACCUUGAUCCUUUUUUCUAACACAACUCAUAAUUCGAAGUUCAUUGAUGCGCUUAAUAAUUUUGUUUUGAAUUAUUACACUAAAGCUAAAUUGAUGGAUAUCAUUACAAGCAAAUUUGAAACAAUCACUUCACUGAAGGAGGAUUUGGUGACAGUGAAUUGUGAACUUGUCAAGAAAGAUGAUGAGUUGUUACUUGUUGACAGUAGAAUUUUUGAAAUUCAUGAAAGGCUUGUCAAGAUUACUGAGUAGAAGGAUAUCCUUACGUUGACUAUAUUUCAAAGCUUUUUGAUGCGAAGCUUCAACCCUUAUACACCAAAUUAUCAUUUAUUAAGGGUGUUCCAAGUAGAAGUGCUACGUUCUAACAAGGAGGAGAUGGAGUUGGGGUGAAUAUUAAUAUUGUGAAUCCAUAGGUUGUUCCUAAUAUGCAAAAGAAGCCUAAGAUCGCUAGAAAGAUUUUUCUCAAUCAUUAACCAUUGAAAAAGAAAUAGGAAGGGAUUAACCAUUGAACAUAAUUUAUGGUAAUAUCUUAAAAGAAGAACUAAAGUAAAAUAACAUUAACUGUUGAUGGUAAGAAUAUGAACUUUUGUUUGUGACUAAUAUAUUAACAACUUCGAUUAUCUUCUAAAACGAUUGUUUUUUUCCCGUUUGUAACUUCUAUCGAAAUGAACUAGUUAUAGUAUUUACUUUUUGUUUCAAUGACUGAGAUUUACUUUGUAAUAACUAAACAAAAACAUAGCAUAAUUAGUUACCCGGUCCCGGAACCGGAACUGCAUGUUUCAUGACUGAUUUCAAAAAAUUAAUAAUUGCAUAGAUUGGUUCUGAUUCUAACUUCACCGAAACCACCAGUUCAUGUUCCGGUUCCGACGAAAUGAGGCGGGUACCCACCUAUGCUCAUCCCUAUUAUUGAAAUAUAUAGUAUGCUCAAGAAUCAUAUGAAAGUAAUAUUUCUAAUUAACAAAUGAUACUAAUGAGUCGAGUUACAACAACUUGAUAUAGUUGAUUAUUUAUUAGAAAUUUAUUUCAAUAAAUAUUUAGUAAACUCUUAUAAUCAAUUGGAAAUUUUUUAGUUCAUGGAAAUAUUAAUUUUCAUUAGCAUGUAACAUAAUAUAUCAUAUGAUAUGAUUUAUUUAGUCAUGUGCAUUAUUUUGGACUAGAAAUACUUUUUUGCCUUUUAGCUAAAAGUUAAAGUUUAUAUCUUAUAAAGAGUUAUAAGAAGUUUACAAAGUUCUCUUCACUUUUUAUAAGAAAAAAAGGAGCUAGUUUCUAGGACACAAGACAUGGUAUUUUGAAUAUUAUAAAGGAAAGUAAGCAAGGAUUAAGAGGCAUGGGAGACAUGUGUGAUUCGGAUAUGGAGUGCUUAAACUCUUGGGUAAUGAUUUAGCUUUAUGAAGGCUUUCAAUCAUUCAUUUUUUUAUUCACCAAAACCAUAGGUUCCUCAUACUCUCUCAUAUUCUCCCUUGCAAAGAAGUGUUAGAAGAUUAACUACUUGAAUUGUUAGAAGAUCACUAGCAUCUACAUCAAGUUGGCUUCAUCAUGGAUAUGGACUACAAAGGUGGUUAUUUCUUCAUCUUUGUCUUUGGUGCUUGUUUGCUUUCUAAAGUUUUCAAGAAGAUCCAUUGUUGGUUAUAAACUUAUUUUAUGGUAUUCAAAAUCAAAGUCUCCAGUUGCUAAAUCUUUUGUUUUUGAAACUAAAUUUUGAAUAAAUACCCAACAAUUGGUAUUUAUUCAAAAAACUUAGUUUUUGGAAAAUAUGGAUAACUUGUGUUUUUAAGAAAAUGAGUUCAUACAUAUAAUAAUUGUUAUUUUUUAUUUGACAAAAGUUUCGUGCAUCUUUUAUCAUUUAAAGUUAUCUUAGAAAAACAAAGGUUGUUUUAUAUGUAUGUUGAUAUGUAGGAUGUCUAUAAACUAGCCAAUGAGAUUUGUGUUGUGAUGUUUAUUGUUUUUUGCUAUAAAUAAGUUGUAAUAAUUUAUUUAUUAAUAUGGUAUGUAAUAAAUUAAAUAGAUUAGUUUUCUUGGUUUAUUUUUGUAAGUAAUAGAUUAGUUUUUAGAAAUAAUUUAUUUGUACAAAAAUAUAACAAGUGAAUUUGGAGCCAUUUUCUGAAGACAAGAAGGCAAUUUUCGAGAUUAUGAAGUGUGCAGGGAGGAAAAGGAAACCUUUUUGCAAACUGUUGCAAAAGGUGUUGUUGUUAGAAGCUUUCCUUCGAGCUAUUGGACGUAAUGCAACCUUUUAUACAACCUUUUCUGAAAAGAGUUGCAUCUUGCUGAAUUAUUGUCUUUAAGAAGUUUUUUCAAACUUUUGCAAUCAAUGGGUGUUUUCUCAAGUGGGAGCUUUUACCACAACAUUACAAGAAGAUUUUUUUGGUCCGUUCAAAUUUACCUUUAGGAAUUGACUUGGCAUCUUUUGUGUUGGCUCACAAAAAAUGUCAUUAGUUGGUUAUGUUUAUGCAUAUAUUUUUAUGCAUGCUUGUAUUGUUUUUUUUAUGCAGUUAUUAUAUGUGGUUGAUAUAGAAGUUUCUUCACAAGCUAAAAUAAUUGUGGAUAAAAUAAACAUCACAUGGAGUUUGUUUUUCAAAUUUAUAUUAUGAACAUAAGAUGUAACAAGUUAAUGUUUUAAAAUAAAAUCCGAUUUUAUAAAAACGUUAAUAACGACAAAUUUUCAAAUACUUAAUUAUAAGUUUUAAAGUGUUAUUUUUGUAACUUAUACAAACUCAAAAUAUAUAAGUAAUAAAAGAAAGUUUAUUGAAUAUACAAAAGGUUUAAAUGCACUCAAACUUAUAACCGGUUAUUAAAGUUCAAUCGUAAUGAAUUAUGUAAAAACUACAUUGUGUAGAACCUUUAAAAGUGAUUUCUUGUUGAAAAUUGGUACCAUGACUUAUUAUAUGCAUGCAAUAACUAUUAUAUCAUAUGUUUUUAAAACUAAAAUUAGAAAACAUAUAACAUACCCCUUACAAACCAUAAAUCAUUGUAAUCUAUUUUGAAGAACACUCGCACAUCUCUUGUAUGUACUAGUGGAACAAAGGAUACCUGACCACUUAGUGUUAUAUUUUGAUGGCUCGUGUGUAUUUGUGAUUUCUAUAACUAUGUUAUAGGCCGGUUACACAUUUUUUUCAAAUUAGAUGAUUUGGUCGAGAAUCUUUUGUCAUAAAGGAUAUCUAAGAAAAGAUAAAUCCAAACCUAAGUAAGAGAAAUCCAAGGCAUAAAUGGGUUAAAACUUGUCUAAUUAUAUUUUUUUAUUAGAGAUCUCAUAAAUAAAAGAAUUAUAUAGUAAGAUAUAAUUGAUAAUCGAUAUCUCUCGGGUUAGAUUCAAAUGGAUGGGAUAAAGUUACUUAUCCAUUUAGUUGUUUUGCAACUUGGAUCCUAGACUUUGAUAAUUAAUGUCUUUGGAUACUAAAAGGGUAUUAAUUAUUAAAAAGUUUAAAUAUCAAAAAUAAUAAAUGAGUUUUGUGAAAAUUUUGUAGACAAGUAAUCCAUUCUCAUAACCGUGAAUAGUCAUUUUUUGUAGUAACUUAAUUAAACAAUGACAUUUAGUAAAUACAACUUCAAUAAAUGUGUUCAUGUUUUGAGAGAAAAUAUCUUGAGUGAUGUGAAAUUGUAUACAUUUAAAGGUCCUAGUCCUUAUGUACUUUCCUUGACAAAUAAACCUGAACAUGGCACCUAGUAAAGGCAUCACUACAAUGCUAAAGAUGCUUCUAACAUCAAACUAGGAAUAGUUAUUCAUGACUUCCAAGAAGUCCUGGAUAAUUUACAUAUAUCUGAUGAUGUAACAUGUUAAGCAAUAUUCGAGGAAGUCUUGGAUAACUUACAGUGAUAUAUUUAUAAACUUUUUAAAACAUUAGAAUAGUGCAAGCUAAAAGAGUCACCUUGUGUGAUCUAAUAGGCUCAUGUAUAUGGACUGAACACCUUCAAACCCAAGAAAUCCAAUAAGGCGACAUAGAUGGAUCUUAUUUAUCUUGUGGAGAAACUGGUCACUGGAAGAUGAAAUACUCCUCUUAUCUAGCAAGAAAGUCUAGAAUAGACUAGCACUUAAGGUGUCUACUAGAUAGAACUUAUACUUUUCAUUUAACAUUUAAGUACUUGGUACUUCAACGUUCAUCUAAUAUUUGUAAAUGGCUUGCAUAUAUUGUACAUGAUGAGAAAUAAUCUCUAGAUUGUUUAGAUCUCUCAUAGAAUGAUAAACAACAAACAAUUCAAUCACAACACGAAUAAUAACAUAGUAUGGAAUCAAUAUGAAGCUUAUGAUUCAAAUAUAGUCACGCCUCAGCAGAGCUCGAUAAAGAACUUCCACUGUACAGGCGAGCUAGGGUUUACAAUACUUUGAUAGGAAAGAUAAUAAAAGCGUUACUUACUAAGGAUGCAUGCAUGCACCUUAAAUACUAAAACCCUAUAGUAAAAUAAUGCACAGUUGGACAGGCCCAAACCGGCUACAAAAUUGGGCUAAGGACCAAGCCCAUGACGCAACACUAUAAGCCCAACAAUCUCCCCCUUUGUGUCAAAUGAGGCGAGAUAUUACUUAUGUUGAGUAGCCUUCACCAUCUUCACAACUUUGAACAAUUGAGGAAUCAUAGCAAGAAGAGUCUACCGAAAUUGAAUAUACCAUCUCAACAUGUCAACAAACAACUUCUUGUCGGCUGCAGAAUUUUGAUUACACCUUUGAAUGAUCUCCAAAAUAUGCUCCAAGCAAGCAGUUGAGAACAAGUGCUUAUCACAAAGAGAAAAAAGACAUUUUUGAUUUUCACCCCUGACGAACAUCACCGUAUGAAAUUGGGGGUCGAUUUUACCCUUGACCAUCACGUUCACAUUGCCAGCUUUCCCAAUUGGUUUGAUCGUUGGUCGCUUGUGAAUGACAGAUGUGAUCUCUUGAUCCAUUUUCACUACUUAAUGAAUGUAGCAAACAAGCAUUCGCUUGAUAUGGUCUAUAAUCGGCUGAUUCUCCUGAGGAUUUGACAGCAGAAUGUUGUUGACGAGUAUCCAGUCAUGAGGGUUAAGGUGUUGGAUAUAGUGUCUAAGUCCAUAACUAUAUUUGGUAUGUACUUGACCCGACCCGGCAUGGUCCAUUUUGGGUUGCACUUCACCCGAACAAUUUAUAUAAUAUUUGAGAAUAGUACAAGUUAUGAUUUAUUAAUAUAUUAUAAGUUCUAAUAUAUUAAUAUAAGAUCAUAUUAUUUAAUUAGUAGUGAUCUAUAAUUAAUCUAGGAUUAAUUUAGUGAUCAAAGAUAUUACUAAUUAAAUAUGGGCUUCUAUAUUUAUAUAGUGUGGGCUUAUGCUUAUUUGGAAUGGGCUAGGCUUGGAUGGAGAAGUCCAUGGAUACUCCAUGGAGCUUUAACCCAUGGAUCUCAUGGAAAUGAAGAGACAUGGGUAUUAGGGUUUACAUGGAUGUAACCCUAAUCCACCACACUAUAUAAAGGAGGCUUUGGCUCUUGAAAUCAAGCUAGUUGUAUCUAGUGAACACUAGUUGACUUAUGUUGAGGUGAGGGCCGAUUUCAAGAGAAGUGUGACUAUUCUCUCAAAGUUCCAAGUUUGUGGUGAUUUGUGACUUUCAUUUGAGGCAUCCAAAUUAUUGGUGCUAGGCUCUAAAACUCCAAGCAAUCAACUACAAUUACAAGGUAAGUAUUUCUACUAGCUUUAUUUGAUUCAUGUUCCCCAUGCCAUGCUAGUUAGGAUAUGAACCUUGGAAAAAUAAUUAUUUGCAUGUAUCUUAGACAAACAUAGAUCCAAGGUUUAUUAGGGUUGCAUGUACACUUAGGAAGUGUUAGAAUGCUCAAAACCCAUCAGUGGUAUCAGAGCCUAGGCUUGUUUGUUUGAUACUUGUUGCAAUAUGCUUGAAAAAGUCGAAAUCUUGCUGUCUGACUGAUGGACUCGCCGAGUCCAUGGGGGGACUCGCCGAGUCCACUUGUAUCUUCAACCUACUCGCCGAGUAGGUUCAUGCACUCGACGAGUAGGGUCGACAGAGUGCAGUUUUUCGACUUUAGUUGCUGGAAAUGGAUUAGAAACAUUACCCUAAACUGUUUUGGUACUUGAAAACUUGUUUUAGAAGGUGUAAUGUCUUUUCUAACUCAUUUACAACAACUAGUUAUCAAAAUUACAAAGAUUAAGUGUGAUUUUGAUAUAUGAAAGUGUUCAUGUUCAUGAUCUUGUUCUUAUGAUGUUUAGAUGAUCAUAGGAAUUAUUUGUAACCUAUGUGGUAGAUUAAUUCUUGAUCAUAAUGUUAUUUAAUGGAGUCCAUAACUUGUCCUCAAGUUAUGGAAAACCAAAAGUCUCUUGGAUUGAAAACCAUUAAAAGAACACAAGAGUUAGAAAAAUGAAGAGUCUUCAUUUUAUUACUCUAUUAAACUCAUAAGUUACAAGAUAUGAAAAGUUUUGAAAGUUUACAAAACUUGCCCUCAAGUUUUGGAACAAGUAAAGUCAAGUUAAAACUUUAGUUCCAACCCUUAGAAUUUUAAAAGUUAAAAUUCAACCCUUAUACUUAUAUUAUUAUGAUUUAAUAAUUAUAUAUAUAUGUAUAAGAACAAAGUCGUCUUACCGCUAGUACGCCUCAUUCACGAAGCCGGUCUAUAAGGUGGGUAUAAGGUUGUUGCCUAUAAAAUGGUGACUUAAUGGGUGUCCACUCUCACCCACCGCUUGCUUGAUCGGUGGAGGGUCGUUAGCCGAACGGGUAAGACAAGGACUUAUUAAUUCUCAUUCAAAGUAUGAUGAAUAUUAUAAAGUAACUAAAUGUUUUAUUAAAUUCCCAAUCUUAGUUACUUUAGGAAAAAUGUGAAUAAGGUGCUAUUCCAUGAAAUUACACUUUACACUUUGAUUAAGUCGUUGGUGGAGCGUGUGUGGUUAACCGGCACACUAACUUGGACUUAACAAGGUAGGUAAAGGGUGACUUAGGGUUUAUUAUAGUAUCGAUGGAGCGUGUGUGGUUAACCGGCACAUCGAUUGAGUGAUAAACUUUAAGGGUACCAAGUGAUUUGCAUGGUUACUUCACACCUCGUUUUGUGAUCCUCGGUAUCCCAGUCACAAAACUUGGAGGGCACACUCGAGAUUGAAACAUGCCUUUGAAAAGUUCAUUGAAUCUCAAAGAAUCUAGGAAUUUCUAAGAACCAUUCAAAAACCUAAUACUAAAAUAUUGCGGUUUUCGUGGUGGAAAUUGGUGAAUCGUCAUUCACCUACCUUUCAAAUAUGAUAUAGCUUAGAUUACGGCAUACCUCUUCUAAGUUAUAUUAUAUUGUGAUUGGAUCCUAGCCUUAAUAUUACAUUUGGGUGUUUUAUUAAGGACUCUCUUAUAUCUAAACUAAUCUUGUCCUCUUUCCUUCAGAUGUCUUUCAACAAUGCUUCUGGCUCUAAUCCUAAUGGCUCCUUUACCCUUAUGAACUUGUGUGGGAAAGUCACCUUUGAUGGAUCCAACUUCAAUGAGUGGAUCAGAAACAUCAGGAUGAUUACCCGCUACGAGGACAAAGAAUAUGUCCUUGACAAGGAGCUUAAGGAGAUUGAUGAGUCCACUGCAACUCCUCAGGAGAUCGCUGAAUUUCGGGCACAUGAAAGGGAUGCUACGAAAGUGGCUUGCAUCAUGAUGGCCACGAUGACAGCGGAACUCCAAAAGUCUUAUGAGGAUUUCUACCCUUAUGACAUGCACCAAGAUUUGAUGGAAAGAUACCAUCAAAGUGCAAGACAAGAGAGGUAUGAAAUCAUCUGCUCCAUGAUAACAACCAUGAUGAAGGACGGGGAAUCCGUCACGAGCCACAUGCAGAAAAUGCAAAGGUAUGUGGAUCGUUUGCUGAAGCUUAAUGUGAACUUCCCGGAGGAUCUUGCAAUAGAUAUUAUUUUGCAUUCCUUACCAUCGUGCUAUGAUCAAUUCCGCAUGACAUAUCACAUGAACAAGGAAGAAGUCACCCUCAGCAAACUUCAGGGACUUCUCAAGACCGCAGAAACAGGUCUUAAGGGGAAGUCGGUUGCUAUCACUCCUACUCAAAACUCUACUCCGGUUUUGGCAAUCGGGAAAAGUCGAGGGAGGAAGAGAAAGAGCUCUUCUAAGGGUACCAAGGCUCGGACCCUUGAUGGCUCUUCUUCAAGUGGAACCAAGAAAGGUUUCGUUACUCCUUCUUCUGACCCAAAAGAGGCUGAAUGCUUCUAUUGCCAUGAAAAAGCUCAUUGGAAGCGGAACUGCCCAAAAUACCAGCAAGAUGUGAAGGAUGGGAAAGUUAAACCCAACCAUGCAGGUAUUUACACUAUCAUUUCUAAUAACUCACCCCAUUCUAAUUCUUGGGUCCUUGAUACCGGGUGUGGUAUUCACAUUUGUUGUGACUUGCAGGGACUAAGAAGAAGUGAGGAUGUGGAGCAAGGAAGGAUAAACUUGAUCAUGGGGAAUAGGAAAGCUAUACCUGUUACCAAGAUUGGAGUUUAUACUUUAUCGCUAAGUAGUGGGUUUAGUUUAGAUUUGAAUAAGUGUUGUUAUUCGCCAGGAAUGGCAAGAAAUAUUAUUUCCUUUCAUGCUUUGUACAAACAAGGGUUUACCUUUUCAUUUAAUAAUGAAGUUGGUUCUAUAGAUGUUUUCUAUAAUAAUGUCUUUUAUUUUAAAGCAUUACCUUGUGAUGGUGUGUAUGAAGCUGUAUCUGUUGUAGAUAACUUGGGAAAUAAUGUUUUGUGUAUUGAUUCUACUAAUAAUAACUUGGAUAAAGCAUCUUUAUGGCAUUGUCGUCUUGGACAUAUAAGCAAGAAACGCAUAGGCCAACUCCAAAAGGAUGGAGUCUUGGAGUCGUUUGACCUAAAGUCAGAUGAUAGUUGCGAAUCAUGCUUACUUGGAAAAAUGACAAAGUCACCCUUCACAGGUUCGUGUGAGAGGGGUGAAGGUUUGUUGGACCUUAUACACACGGAUGUGUGUGGACCAUUCAAACAUGCCACAAGGGAUGCUAAUCGUUAUUAUUUGACUUUUACUGAUGAUUAUAGUAGAUAUGGAUAUGUCUACUUGAUCAAGCAUAAGUCAGAGACUUUCGAGAGGUUUAAGGAAUUUAAACAGGAAGUCGAGAAUCAAUUGGGCAGGAACAUUAAGAUGCUUCGAUCCGAUCGUGGUGGUGAGUAUCUUAGUUCAGAGUUCCUCGACUAUCUAAGGGAAUGUGGGAUAGUCUCACAAUUGACACCUCCCAGGACACCACAGUUGAAUGGUGUGGCUGAGAGGCGUAAUCGAACCUUGUUAGAUAUGGUUCGUUCCAUGAUGAGUCGAGCUACGCUACCAAUCUCAUUCUGGGGGUAUGCCUUAGAGACUGCCGCCCAUAUUCUUAAUCUAGUCCCUACAAAGAAAGUUGCCAAAACUCCUCACGAGAUGUGGACUGGUAAAGUACCUAAACUAGACCACAUCAAGAUUUGGGGUUGCGAGGCUUUCGUGAGACGCGAGACUCAUGAUAAGCUCGAACCUCGAAGCGAGAGGUGUAUUUUCAUCGGUUACCCACAGCGAUCCUUUGGUUACCUCUUCUACAGACCUAGUGACAAUGUGGUCUUUGUAGCAAGAAGAGGAGUCUUUCGAGAAAGAGAGUUUAUAAGCCAAGGAGACAGUGGGAGGCAAAUUGAUCUUGAAGAAAUUCAAGAAUCAAGCGGUGAAGGAACUUCAAACUCUAGCCCUCAACUUGAGGAGGAAACUCCUGUUGAGCCAAUUGACAAAUCUGUACCUCUGAGACGUUCCACGAGAGUUAGGAGUGCACCUGAGCAUUACUAUGGAUUCCAUAUUACUGCAGAAGGUGAGACACUUAUUAGUGAUGAGACACUAGUAAGUCAAGAUGACCCUAACAGCUACGAGGAAGCCAUGGCAGGCCCCGAGUCUGCUAAAUGGAAAGAGGCUAUGGAUAGCGAGAUACAAUCCAUGUAUGACAAUCAAGUUUGGAACUUGGUUGAAAAUGUACCAGGUCGUAAGACAGUAGGGUGCAAAUGGGUCUUCAAGAAGAAGACCGACAUGGAUGGUAAAGUACACACUUAUAAGGCUAGACUGGUUGCAAAGGGCUUCUCUCAAAUUCCUGGAGUGGAUUAUGAUGAGACCUUUUCUCCGGUAGCCAAGAUUAAGUCUAUUCGGGUUCUGUUAGCCAUAGCUGCAUUUCAUGACUAUGAAAUAUGGCAGAUGGAUGUCAAAACCGCUUUCCUUAAUGGAAAGUUGGCUGAAGAUGUUUACAUGAGUCAGCCAGAGGGUUUUGUCAGCAACGAGUACCCUAAUAGAGUGUGUAAGCUUGAGAAAUCCAUUUAUGGAUUGAAGCAAGCACCUCGCAGAUGGAAUCUUUGCUUUGAUGAAAAGGUCAAGGAAUUUGGCUUUUCUAGGAGUGAAGAUGAAUCUUGUGUGUAUGUCAAGGCUAGUGGGAGUAUAGUUAGCUUUUUGGUAUUGUAUGUGGAUGACAUACUACUCAUAGGAAACGACAUUCCAACCCUGCAGGAAGUAAAGUCCUGGCUUGGGAAGUGUUUCGCUAUGAAGGACCUUGGUGAAGCUGCCUAUAUUCUAGGGAUAAGAAUCUUGAGAGAUCGGAGUAAAAGACUAAUUGGACUUAGUCAGAGUACCUACUUGGAUAAGGUGCUGAAGAGAUUCAGCAUGCAGGAUUCCAAGAAAGGAGAGUUACCCAUCCAGAGUAACACCAGAUUGAGUAAGACACAAAGCCCUAGCACUGAGGCUGAGAUAGCAGAAAUGAGUCGAACACCUUAUGCUUCGGCUGUAGGAUCGAUCAUGUAUGCUAUGACGUGUACUCGACCCGAUGUAGCUUUUGCCUUGAGCAUGGUUAGCAGGUAUCAGGCGAACCCUGGCAAGGCACACUGGACUGCGGUAAAGAAUAUCCUCAAGUACCUACGGAGGACUAAGGACUGGGUCCUUACCCUCGGUGGGAGUGAUGACUUGAGAGUUGUAGGGUAUAGUGAUGCUAGCUUCCAGACUGAUAGGGAUAAUUUCCGCUCUCAGUCGGGCUGGGUCUUUACCCUAAACGGAGGAGCAAUUUCUUGGAAGAGUUCCAAGCAAGAGACAGUGGCAGAUUCUACUUGUGAAUCAGAGUAUAUUGCAGCUAGUGAGGCAGCAAAGGAGGCGAUAUGGCUGAAGAACUUCAUUGGAGACCUUGGAGUUGUACCAGCUAUUAAAGAGCCAAUGGAAAUUUUCUGUGAUAGUGAAAGUGCUGUUGCCUUAGCCAAGGAACCAAGGGAUCACGGGAGAUCCAGACACAUCGACAGAAAAUACCAUUUCAUCAGACAUCGGAUCGAAGAAGGACUCCUCGUGGCAAAGAGGGUAUCAUCGGAUGAGAACCCAGCAGAUCCCCUCACGAAGGGACUGAGUAGGGUUAAGCAUCUCCAGCAUGCUCGGAGCAUAGGGCUGAAGGAUGAUAUAAGUUUUAGUAGUUAGAUAACCCAGAAAUUUGUAAAGUGUAAUUGACAUUAGAUGAUGAAUAAAAGGUGUUUUAUUUAUGAGUAAAGUGUUGCUAUCUCUUGUCGAUCGUUUACUAUAUUUCUUUUGCAUGUUUUGACUUCCAGAAUAAUUUUGUUUGGUAUAACAUAUUAUUCAAACCUCCACAGUCGGUCAUAUGUCGGAAGUAGGUAUGAAUCAAGACUGUCAUGAUUGGUUGCAGAGGUCUAAGGUGUUGGACAAGGCUACAACAAUCAUGAGUGCUCAUAAGUUCUGAGCAUUGGACUCAACCCACGCUCACUGGAAUCACUUCAUGGAAUUUUAUCUCGAGUGAUCGUGAGACGGUAAUAUCAUAUAAGUCUUCAAACCUAGAGAUAUGAUUUGUUACUUACGAGUUGGUUAUGCAUUGAUUGUACGAAAACGCAUUGGUAACUCGAUGUUAUAAAACGUGCUUUUGUGUGUAAUUCAAUGAGUGGUAGAACAAACAUAUGAGUCGAAGUUUAUCUGUUCCUUCUUGGAUUAGAAGCUGAUAUCUGGGCCCCUCGAUGAUUUUGUUUUGACCUAUGUACCGGGCCCGGUCAGAACUAAAUUGAUGUGUUCAGUUGAGUUCUAUGUCAAACAAAUCGGAAAUCGGGAAACAAAUGCUGGACAAUAAGCAAGACAAUGUUCCAUGUAUUUGUCCGGCUGAUAUCUAGAACAGAGGAUUAUAUGAUCACUUAUCUAAAUGGCGCGUUCUAGUUCAACAGAGUUUAAAGAGCUACGAUUGCUGAUCGGUUCCUGAAGUUAUACUUGCAAAUAUAGUUACUAGACUUAUCCAAGUGGGAGACUGUUGGAUAUAGUGUCUAAGUCCAUAACUAUAUUUGGUAUGUACUUGACCCGACCCGGCAUGGUCCAUUUGGGUUGCACUUCACCCGAACAAUUUAUAUAAUAUUUGAGAAUAGUACAAGUUAUGAUUUAUUAAUAUAUUAUAAGUUCUAAUAUAUUAAUAUAAGAUCAUAUUAUUUAAUUAGUAGUGAUCUAUAAUUAAUCUAGGAUUAAUUUAGUGAUCAAAGAUAUUACUAAUUAAAUAUGGGCUUCUAUAUUUAUAUAGUGUGGGCUUAUGCUUAUUUGGAAUGGGCUAGGCUUGGAUGGAGAAGUCCAUGGAUACUCCAUGGAGCUUUAACCCAUGGAUCUCAUGGAAAUGGAGAGACAUGGGUAUUAGGGUUUACAUGGAUGUAACCCUAAUCCACCACACUAUAUAAAGGAGGCUUUGGCUCUUGAAAUCAAGCUAGUUGUAUCUAGUGAACACUAGUUGACUUAUGUUGAGGUGAGGGCCGAUUUCAAGAGAAGUGUGACUAUUCUCUCAAAGUUCCAAGUUUGUGGUGAUUUGUGACUUUCAUUUGAGGCAUCCACAUUAUUGGUGCUAGGCUCUAAAACUCCAAGCAAUCAACUACAAUUACAAGGUAAGUAUUUCUACUAGCUUUAUUUGAUUCAUGUUCCCCAUGCCAUGCUAGUUAGGAUAUGAACCUUGGAAAAAUAAUUAUUUGCAUGUAUCUUAGACAAACAUAGAUCCAAGAUUUAUUAGGGUUGCAUGUACACUUAGGAAGUGUUAGAAUGCUCAAAACCCAUCAUAAGGUUCGGUAGAUCAACCAGGGAGAAAUUAAGAACCGAGCCUUCAGAGCCUCGGGUCACUUUAAACUUGACGUUGACAAAUUUUCCCGCUGAAUAAGGCUUCAAUACUUUGACAGUAGUAAUCUUCUGUGAACUCCAGGUCAAGUAUUGUGGCUGAGCAAAUUCCAGGUAAAACUCCAACAGAUCUCGAUCCACGUUCAGGUCCGGAGAGGGAAUUACAACAGUUGAGUUGAAGCAAUGAAAGAUAAAUGCCUUUCGAGUGAUUGGCAUGUCAAACUGCGCAUCCUUCGAGUUUUCAAGGCCGAACGAUGUAACAUGUUUGAGCCAAUGAGUACUCGGUUCAUCUAUCGCAUCUUUUUGGAGCGAAUCAAUAGUAUAUUCUGGAAAAAUGGACUUCUUUUUCUCCAAGAGCUCUUUUUCUUUUAGCUUCUUCUGCAGCUUAGCCGUUUCCUUCGCUAUCUUUUCUGCAAGAUCCUUGUCAGAGACUUUUGUAUUCUGAAAGGGCUUAGAGGGAUUUUCACCCAAAGAAUCUUCAAAAUCAUCAUCAUCAUCAUCUGUAUCAUCUUCACCAAUUUUCUUCUUCUUGUUAUCCCUUUUGCUGAUCGAAGCUUCAUUAUCCUUCGGUGCAACUGUUGAUUUGGGUUCGGGAGGAGGUUGAGUAUUAACGUCUGCCUUUUCCUUUUCUCCCCCUUGUUUCGGCUAGACAGAAGUCACCGAAACAACCUCUAUCCAACUAAGGAUAUCCAACGCAGGUCUGAGUUUUUCAGCUAAAUGGCGUCUGAUGGAUGUGGUCAGAAUAGAGUCAUGGGAAUCAAGAAGAUGUGACAAAAUGGAAUGAACGUCACCCACAAAACUUCUAAUCACUUCUCUUUCUGACUUCAAAUCACUAAGAUCAGUUAUGGCAGCAAGAAGCUUAUGAUUUUGAAUUUUGAGCUGAGAAGUACGUUUGUCAAGCCCGUCCAUAAUUCAAUUUUCAACAGCUAGUUCGGUUUCCAGCUGAGUCAGACGCUCAUUGACAUUAGCAUGAAGAGUUGCAUUGGCAGCUUCAAUGGCCUUUCGAGCGACUUCAAGAUUAGUCCUUUUAGUUUGAAGAGAACCCAGAAGAUUAUCAACUGAAGCAUUCACAGUCUGAGAGUUCUUUUGAGCAGUAGCUUGCAAAGAAUCUAAGAAUAGAUGAGCCUCAGAAAUUAGUUUAUCGACUUUUACGGUCGCUUCUUUACCUUCUUUCGUCAAGGCCUCAACAGCAAGCGAGGCCUUCUGACACUGAGAUGUAGAGGCAUCGAUAGCCUUUGCUGCGGCAGAGAGAGAAGCAUCAUGUUCUUUAACAACCGAAGACAACAAGAUUUUAGAGCAGCUUCGGAAUAAGCACCAGUGGAGGAGGAGGAAAGUAGCUGAUCAAGCUUAUCAGUAACAGUCUUGAGGUGGCGCUUGGUGACUGGAGUAUGGUCAUCAUCAUUACUUUGGACGCGGUAGGGACUGAAGUAAGUGGAAUCAAACUCCAAGUCCUCACCUCAAAGAAUGGUGUUGGUUUUGGUAGAUAGGGUAGGUGAUGGUGGUUCGGUAGUUUCAGGAGGUUCGGUAGUGACAGGAGGAUUGGGUGCUGAAGAACCAGCCCCCAUAUUAGAUACGUUGGUUCGAAAUCCAGUAGUGGUGGUAGUAGUAGCCUCAGUGAAGAUGGGUGCAGAAAUAGGAAUGGUAGAGGAUGGUUGAGAUGUAAUGACAGGAAAAAUAGGAGGGAGGGAGAUAGGUAAAGAAAUAGGUGGGGGAGAAGGUGGUUGGGACCGAACAUGUACCUCUGGUGUAGGCGAACGAGGAGGAGUAUCACCACGAACCGAACCUUCAUCCUUUGAGCUUUCACUAUCAGAUUCACUGUGAGGAAUUGUUGGUUGAUUAGGCGACACAUAUUCUUAGUCAGAAUCACUGGAGGAUUGAAGAAUUAGCCUGCGAGUGGGUUUCUUGACUUUCUUCGGCUUAGGUUGAGCUGGAGCUGCCUUCUCAGACUUUCGCUUCCUAGGGGUUGGAACUUUUGAGACUGGACCCCCUUAUCUCCCUUUUUCACUUCUGGCUUUUUGCCUCUUUUAGCAUGUUUGUCUACUUCAUCAAUUGACUUUACCAUUUCAGUAGUGAGUUCCCAUGGACCAGAGGAGGGAAGCUUCUUGUAUUCAUGAAUGAUCUUACUUGAAGGAGGCAAAAAGGCAGAGAUCGACUCAGAAAUGGACCCAACAAAAUUUGUUUUUGAAGGAUGAGUCACUAUGAUGUUGGUAGUGUGAAAAGUAGAAUUGGAAGAAAGCAUGGAGUCCGCCAUGAUAGGAACAUGAAAACGUUUCAUUAUCCAUUGAGUAAUAAUGGUCCAGAAGCAAGCACAAGAGAUUUCAGUGUGACGAGAAGAAGAUGAUAAACUCUGAAUUAGUUGGAGCCAUAAAACCAUUCCCUAAUCCAGAUUAAGACCAUGGUACACCCCAUAAAGUAGAGACAUGAAGGACUUACUCGCACCGUCAGAUCCAACACUUCGUUCAGAAAGCCCUUUGAAUAGUAGAGUGAAGAGGCCAUUCCAUUGAGGAGGAAGGUAGGAGUUCUUGAACCUAGUCACAGUGGUGAGGUUUUCAGUAUACCCCAUAUUGUUGAACAUUGAAAUCAGGAUUAACCAUGGAGUCUUCAUAUGCAAAGCCCUAGAAGAGAGCAAAAUCGAUUCUUGGAGAUUGAAGCUUUUUGGUUAAGAAUGUCGAAGAAAAUUUUAUCUGCCCCUUUGUCAUACGUUGCAGUGGAGUAGAUUUGAGAGAGACAAGACAUUGGAACAACUUCGACUGUGGUUAGGGCUUUGACGAGUGGGGAAUAUUUCAGACAUUCCAUCACUUGAUACAUGUACGUAUCGUAGAGGAAAGGGGAGGGAUCGAUCAAAAGGUUCUGAUUGGGCUUGAUGGCAAGAAGAGUUGAGUGAGCAGUUCUUUCUUGAACUGAAGAUGAUUCCACCAUGGAUGAAGCUUGAGAAGAUGACGAUGAACAAUAAGAGAGAUCGCCCUUUUCUUUUUGAGGAUUUGUGAGUGAUAAAAGAGCCCUUUUCUUUUUGAGGAUUUGUGGGUGAUAAAAGGGUAAAGUGGAGUGUGAGAAAUCCUUUUAUAUGUACGAGUGGGAGAGAGAAAUAUCUGGCUGAAAUCUUGGCUUUAUGUGAAACCGUUCCUAAUGCGAUGGAGUGGACAGUUGGCAACCCCUAUGAUGACGCAGUAGAGAGAAAGGAUGUUUCACUUUUACGCGCCUUUCCAUAAUAGUACCUUUUUCAAAUCCUCAAAACGAUUGGAUAACUGCUAACUCAUCCAAGAACUUUAUCUUAAUCGUCACCCACAUAAUUUACAUGAACCGUUAUCACCUUUAUCUUUAUCGAUCACCGGAAUACUUUUAGAAACGAAACUGUAAAAAUUAGCUCAUCGUUAAUAGAACCAGAUUUUUGGAAAAUCAAAGAUUUUCGUGCAUAGAGUGUGAAUGAUAAAGAAAUAAAGAAAACUUUUUAUGGGAACUUGUGAUGUCUGCUAAGACAUAAAGCGACUGAUUCCGGGCACGAAUCUCUUCCUUCAAAGUCAAGAGAGACUUCAGAGUGCUUGUGUGAUUUCAUGUGAGAUAACGAUCAAAUACUUGUUAAGAAGUAUUGAAAGGCAUCUUUUUAAUUAGGGAUAUAAGGGGUGGCUUUCGCUUCAAUUCAUGAUGUCGGCACUUCUGUGACUAAUGUCGCCUGUUAAACAAGUAGGUAGGAAACAUAUUCAGUGACUUGUUGACAAAUGAGAAAUCUCAAAAAAAUUUAAUAGGAUCCUUGGGGAAGAAAAGUCUUGGUGAUAGACAUUUUCAGAAGGAUCGCUCAAAAUAAAAAGAGAUUUCAUUCAAGAACUUUAUCGUGGUAAUGGUUCACCGUCAAUUCAUUAAAGGUUUUGAAUUGUGGGAUUCACUUAGUACGUAGUGACACGAGACUAAGAUCAUUAACACAGAUUUUUGUAUAACCAUAAACCUCAGUGGUAAGUGCUGAGAGUCUCAAGGGUUACAUUAAUGAGACGAAGUGUAAUGAAGAAAAAUAAUAUAGGUGGUAUAAGAAGCGAAUGUACCUCUGCUAUAAAAGAAGGACCAAGCAGAAAACUCUAAACUUAGUAUGAGAAGAGUAAGGUAGCUCACGAUUAGAGUGAAUGUAACAGCCUACUUUGGGAAAACAUGAUUUGUAUAUAUCACAUUAUUAAGGCUUCACUCAAAAUCUGUUGAGGCGUUGGUCAACCUGUAGCAGCAUGCAUCUAGGGACUUUUAACUAAUUUAUAGAAAAGAAGUUAUACAAAGAAAAGCAUUAGAAAAAUAAAAGGAAACAUGUUUUUAUAUUUUGUGAAAUUUUUUUGAUAAAACAAAAAGAAAAAUGUUUUUGGAUUUUAUGAAAAUAAAAUAGAAUAAAAUAAAAUGAAAACAAAAACAUAAAAAUGAAUAUCGAAAAGAGUAUACAUAUGAAUACAACCAAAAUCCAUUUUAAUGAAAAAGAAGCGAACGAUUUCAGAAGGACCGAACCCGAAAUAGAUCAAGCGUUCGGUUCAUUUCAGUUCCCGGGUGAACCGAACCCAAAAUAGACCGAGCGUUCGCUCUAUUUCGCUUCUUACCUUUAAUGAAGCGAAGACGAUUUUGGUACUGAUUCUGCUUCCAUCAUUCCUAGGCCUUGUAAGAUCUUGUUGAAACUUGCUUCAGGUAAAGCCUUAGUUAAUAUAUCUGCUAGUUGAUCAGUGGUCCUAACGAAGUGAAUCUCCACGUUACCGUCUUCCACAUGAUCUUUGAUGAAGUGAUACUGCAGUGCUAUGUGAUUUUUCUUCGAGUGUUGCACUAGGUUAUGACAAACCCUAAUUGCACUUUUAGAGUCGCAAUAUAGUGGGAUUUUCUUCAUGUUCAACCCAUAGUCUCUAAGCUGACUCUAUAUCGAAACAACCGGAGAUGUGCAUGAGGCGGCAACUAUGUAUUCAGCUUCAGCCGUGGAGAGAGAAACACAUGUUUGUUUCUUUGAUUUCCAUCUAACCAAUUUACCAUCAAGAAAUUGGCAUCCUCCAGUAGUGCUUUUACGAUUCAAUCCACAACCACCUAUUUCAGCAUCUAAGAAUGCUUGGACAAAGAAACCUGAGUUGGCUGGAUACCAUAAACCGAGAGAGGAGGUUCGCUUCAAAUAGCGAAAGAUGUUUUUCGCGGCUAGCAUGUGAGGUUCGCGUGGGUUAGCUUGGAAUCGGGAACAAUAGCAGACUGAGAACAUGAUGUCGGGUCUGCUGGCUGUGAGAUACAUCAAUGACCAAAUCAUUUGACGAUAAAGUGUCAUGUCAGCGCCUGACUUCUCCAAAGAUGGUCUAAGCUUAGUCCUAAAAUCCAUAGGGAAUUUCACUUUUGAGUCUCCCAUCAUGCCAAACUUGGCAAGCAAUGUCUUUGUAUAUGCCUCUUGAUUGAUAAAAAUGCCUUCGGGUCCUUGUCUAAUAUUUAUGCCAAGGAAAAAGUUAAUUGGACCCAUUAAGCUCAUCUCAAAUUUAGUUUCCAUCAACUUCCUGAAUUCAGCUAUUAAGUUGGAAUUCGUGGAGCCAAAGAUGAUGUCAUCAAUGUAAAUUUAAACUAUCAUAAGGUGGUUACCCUCUCUCUUACGAAAGAAGGUUGGGUCAACCGAACCUUGUUUAAAUUUGGACAUUUUUAAGAGUCGAGUGAGAGUUUCAUACCAUUCUCUGGGAGCCUGCUUUAGUCCAUAUACUACUUUGUCUAGGAUGUAGUAGUGAUCUGGAUGCUUCUCGUUCACGAAGCAUGGCGGUUGCUCAACGUACACAGUUUCUUCAAGUUCUCCGUUGAGAAAGGAACACUUUACAUCCAUUUGAUAGACUUCAAAGUUUUUGUGUGCAGCAUAAGCAAGAAAGAUUCGAACCGACUCUAAUGUUGCAACUGGAGCGAAGGUCUCUUCAUAAUCUAUACCUUCCACUUGGCAGUAUCCUUUUACAACCAACCGGGCCUUGUUACGAAUCACAUUCCCCUCCUUAUCCAUCUUAUUUCUGAAUACCCAUUUGAGACCGACAACCGAAGCAUCCUCUGGAGUUGGAAUUAAAUGCCAUACUUUGUUUCUUUUGAACUUGUUAAGAUCGUCUUGCAUGGCUUGAACCCAUUCAGAAUGGUCAUGAGCCGAAUUCACAGUCUUCAGUUCAAAUUUAGAGACAAAGGAGUUGAACAUGAAAAAUUCUACUUGAGAAAAUAGUGCAGCUUUUUUCGGUUUGAUCUGUGAUCAAGUUAAUACCUUUCUGAGGAUUCCCCAAUGAUUUGACUUUGAGGAUGGUCUUUGGUCCAUUUAAUGAGAGGUGGGUAAUUUGGAUCAUAGGAGGGAUCCAGUUCUACAUUGACUUCUUCUUCCAAUUCUGAUAGUGUAUCAUCAUCAUUGACAUUUGUAUUCUUCCCCUCGAAUGAUGAUACGAUUUCAAUUUCUGGAUCAGAAUGGUCCCUUUCAUUUCGAAUUUUGGUUGAGCUAGAUGAUUGUGACGAUGAAUUCUCCCCCUGGAAUGAAGAAACUUGAUCCUUUGGUAGAGACAAACCCUCCCCUGGACAGAAGGACGGUCACCAGAAGAUUUGCUUGAGUCAGGCCUUUCGGUUGCCUUUGGUUGAUCAGUACCCAUCUUCUAUGCAACAUCGUCAAUAAUUUGCUUCAUACUAUCGACUUUGUUAUCUUCCUCCUUGGAUUCAGAAUCGAUAGCCUCUUCAAGUUCAUCGAAGAGAAGCAUAUAUAGCUCGAAAAGGUUUGAGAUAGGUAUUGUAAUUUGACUGUACUUUGGAAAGAUUUCCUGCAUUGCACCAUCAGUUGUCUUCAACUUCUUGACAUAACUAUCGUCAAAAGUGACAUAGUAUGUCUCUUCAAUCUUCUUGGAGCGUUUGUUCAAAACUCUAUAUGCCUUCGAUUGCAAGGAGUAGCCCAAAAAUAUCCCUUCAUUAGCCUUAGCGUCAAACUUGUUUCGAUUCUCCUAUGAGUUGAAGACGAAGCAUCUUGAACCGAAUACGUGAAAGACGUUCACAUUAGGCUUGCAGUUGUUCAAUAUCUCGUAAGGAGUGAUAGAGAAUCGCUUGUUUAGAUACGAUGUAUUCUGAGUGUAACAUGCAUCAACAAUAGCAUCAUCCCAGAAAUAUAAAGGCAAUGAAGCGAAGGUUAGCAUAGUUCGAGCUGCUUCGUACAGAGAUCGGUUUCGCCUUUUGACGAUUCCAUUAUGAUGUGGAGUAUAUGGAGCAAAGAAAUUGUGAUUCGUUCCUUUCUCAGCCAAAAAGUCUUCGAAAUCCUUAUUCUUGAAUUCCAAGCCAUUGUCACUUCUUACGUUAUGAACCACUUUUCUCAGUUGGACCUCUACUUGCUUUAUGAACAGCUUGAGCUUAGGAGUAGCCUCUGAUUUUUGAUUCAAGAAGAAUACCCAAGUGAAGCGAUAGAAUUCGUCAACUAUGAAAAGAAUGUACUUGUUCCCACCAAUGCUUUCAAUAGAGGAGGGACCACAUAGAUCGAUAUGUAACAGCUCCAAUGGUUCUAUCACCUUUGUGUUGAUAAUAGAAGGAUGAAUUUGUUGACUUUGCUUUCCAAUUUCACAAGCUGCACAUAGAUGUUCUUUGUCAAAUUUAAGAACUGGAAGACCUCUAACAUGAUCUCCCAAUACCAGGAUGUUGAUAUCCAUGAAAUUGAGAUGAGAGAGCCUUCGAUUGCAUAACCAGCUUUCGUCUGAGUGAGCCUUCGUUAGCAAGCAAACUACUGGUUUCCCUCGAAUUGGAUUGAGGUUUAAAGGGUACAUUUCCCCCUUUCGCUUCGACUUCAGCAGUAUGUUAUUUGACUUCUUUUCGACUAUCUUUGAGCCUUCAUAAUCAAACGAGGCCUUCAAUUCGGUCCCAACAACUAACCGUGAAACGCUUAUGAAGUUGUGCUGCAAUCCUUCAACGUAUGCAACCUUUCUGAUUGAGAAAUUACCAUUCGUAAUCAUUCCAUAGCCUUUAAUAGUUCCAAAUGAAUUGUUGUCGUACUUCACUAUUCCACCAUCCUUGAGAUACCGAAACUCCCUUAGUUCUUCCCUUCGGCCUGUCAUGCGACGCGAGCAGCCACUAUCUAUGUACCAUUCUUCGUCAAACUACAUGUCACAUAUAACCUGCAAAAUAUCAAGCAGAUUUAGGAACCUAAAGUUUCAUGGGUCCUUGUGAGCCUUUUACAAGACAGGGAAUAGUAAGUGAAACAUCAACCAUAUAUGUUCUUUUUAUUAGAGUUGUUUCAUCUUUUCUCUUUAUUGUAAAAACUUUGAUUUUGUUUGUCUUAGAUUCAUUAGACGUAGGAUUUGAAUUUUUGACGUCUGCAUGCUUUUGGAUCUCUUUCGGGCAUUUGUUAUCUUCUGGAAAGAGCUUUCCUUUUCCCUUUGAAUCUUUUGAAGCAUAAGAAUUAGAAUGAGAAUGAGAAGAAUAGGGUUUAGAAGCGAUAUUAGGUCGUCGAUUAUCAGUCCUCCUUGGUUGAAAACGGGAACACUCUUCCCUUCUGUUGGUCUGAUUGAUGUUGGCACUGAACCCAUCCUUUCGGCUGCUAUUGUAUUGAGGACUGAAACCUUGCUUUCGGUUGCUUACUCGCUGAGGAACGAAACCCACCUUCCGGUUGCUUUCACGCUUAGGACCGAAACCCUCCUUUCGGUUGCAUUCAUGUCGAGGACCGAAACCUUUCUUUCGGUUGUUUACCUGUUGUGGACCGAAACCCUCCUUUCGGUUGCUUUCAUGCCAAGGACCGAAACCUUCCUUUCGGUUGCUUCUUAGUUCUCCUAGUGACUUAUGUGUCUUUUCAUACGUUACGUAAUGAGGAUUCUGAGAUCACCAAAACUAUUUUCUUUCUGAGAGAUUCUUCUUGUAUCUCAGAUUUCGUUUGUAUUUUCGUUCUGCCACCUGUUUUGGAUUUUUAUGAAUAUUGGCCUUUUUAUUCGAUACAUGAGCAUGGCUUUCGCUCUUUGACGAACACAUCUCACACGACGUUAUUACUGAUUCGCCCGAAGAUGUUUUGGUGCCACUUUUGCUUGGCACAUCAUAUCUUGUAGGUUUAUUAAGUGGUUCUGGUACGUACCUACCCUUUACUCUCCAUGAGGUUUUCUGAGAUAGGCCUUUUGUUUCAUCAACGUUACCUAGUGGCGCUGCCUAGAAGAACUCCUCACAUCCAUUUGCAUUAUCUUCUUCUACCACUGUUGUCAGUUCUGCUGUUUGUUGAGGAGUGCCCCUUGAACUAUGUAGACUUGAUUUGGAGUGGUUUCAACCUUUUGAUAUACAACAACUUUUGCCUUAAGAAUUUUGGUCUUGUCUGUCGAUGAGCGAGCAAACUGAACGGAGUUUUCAGAGAUCAGAUUUUUGUUUGGUUCAGGUUCGCUUUUGAAAAAUUCUGAACAGUCCACCACAUCCUCUACAAAGAUUUCACUCAUGUCAUCAUCCUCAUUAAGUUCAGAUGCAUUUCCAACAUCAAUUUUAUUUUCUGAACUUAAUUUGGCAUUCAACGAGUCAAAUUUCUAUACAGUUUCGGUUCUUAAUUUCAAUUUAUCAUUUCAUCCACCAGAUUUUUGAGCAUGUCCUUAUGGUCUUUUGACUUUAUGUAGGACUCCGUUAGUCACCAAAACUAUGGAUCUAAUUCAGUAAUCAAUGAAGCAAAUAGCAAUCAAAAUUAAGUGUAGAAGGAGUAUAAAAGAGAUAACAUCAAGCAUGCACACAUCUAUUUUAUAAAUGUUAGGUACACCCUGGGAAAACACACACAUACGUCACUCACGUCUCUAUACAACUGACACAGACACAAUCUAUUUAUAGGACCACCGGCCGCACACGUGUGUACAGCCGCACAUGUGUGUACAGCCGCAUACGCGUGUAUGGCUGCACACAGAGUGUGCAGCCGCAAACACAUGUAUGGCCGCACACAGAGUGUGCAGCCGCACACACUCGCUAACAUACUACAACCAACAUAGCAAACCCCAAAACCCUACCAAGACCUACACAAGAUGAAUGCCUAGCUUAAUCCACAAAAUUAUUACCUAACAAUCUCCCCCUUGGUUUGAGCUAGCAUGGACUCAGUUCUUCUUCGAUCAAAAGCACGUCAGACUUAUACAGAUAGAUGCCUAGCCCAAACCGACAAAUUUUGACCUAACAGUCUUCCCCUUGGUUUGUGGCUAGCAUAGACUCUGUCUUUCUAAUCAGCAUCACCAAGGUGUGUAUGUAUCGCUUCCUGAAUUGUAGAAGAUCCUUAGCAUCAAACAGGACGAAUAACACAAUUGCUAUCUUGAAACUCGAUCACUGCAGUGGCGCUAGGUUCUUUAACUGUGGUCUUGAACUUGUUACCAAAUUCUGCAAUAAGUUUGUUCUUAUAGUUAGAGUAGCUUGCUAAUACGGUACCAAGAUUAAGCUGGAGAUUGGAGAUCUGUUUAGACUUCUGAAAGUUUUCUUCUUCAAGCUCAGAAACUCGAAUAUCGAGGUUUCCGAUCUGAACGUCUUUCUCGAUGAUCUUCUGUUUAAGAGUAGUGAUCUCCUCCUUGAGCUCUGAGAUAGAUGGGCCUGCUCCCCCUGAACUUCCUUCGCCUAUUGAUAUUCAUUUGUGACGAGGUAAAGGAUCUGAAUCUUGUUGAGCAAGAAACCUGGCAAGCCUCAAAGACGCAACAUAAUGCACAGGUUGUGGAGGAGAAGAACCCCCAGGAGCAGAAGAACUCUCGACAUCAAACGAAGAUCUAACAUUACUUGGUCCUUUUAGGGUCAAUUGAGUUGGUGUAGCAGCUUUGGAGGAUUGUUGGACUGGUGGUUCUUGAUCUUGAAUAAAUACUCCAUGCCUUGGAUCGAGUCGACUUCUUUUUACAGAAGGCAGGGAGAUUUGUGUCGGUGUCGAAUCACUUGUGGAUGGCACAAAUGUAGGAAUAGCAGGAUUAAGGGGAGGAAUCCUUGAAGUUGUAUCCAUUUCGGUUGAAAGGUGUCGGCCAUCUGAUCAAAAGUUGGAGACGUCACUUUGAGAACACCAAUAACUCCUUCUGUCAAUGAUCAAGCAACAAACAAUCGCAAUUGAAUAAGAAGAUGAGAAGAAAUCGAGCUUGUACACGUUUAUAUUAGAAAAACAUCAGGUACAACUCGAUGGAACACUCUGUAAACACUAUUGCAUCGAGGUCUUCACUGCUUAACCUUAUAUCAUUACCAGUAGUCUAUAAGCUGAUAUGUGAGACACUCAACAAGUUAUACUUUAACUCAGGAGCGUAGAUGAUGUUCUCAAAACUCAGCACUCCAUUUACAACUAUUCCUUUUUGAGUGAUCUUCCCUCCAUCUCCUCCCGUGAUGGAAACAUAACACUCAUUAAAAGUCUGAAUGACGUGCAGUUGGGAGAUGUCUCCUGUCAAUGUGCCUGGAACAACCGCUGUCGACGUACCAAGGUUUGACGAGAUUUCUCCGCAGCUAUUCCUGCACAAUGAGCAGGAUUAUUUAGAUUUAGGGACCCAACUCAUUACAAGCCUGGGUCCCAACCGCACACUUCAACCGCACACUCAACAACACACUCAACCAUAAACUCUAACCGUACACUCAACCGCACACACCAACUGCACACCUUCAAACUCCAACCGCACACCUUCAAAUUUCCAACAUCACACCUUUAAACUCCAACCGCACACCUUCAAACAAUGAACCACACACCUUCAAAUAGUGAACCGCACACCUUCAAACAGUUGACCGCACACACAAUUUUCUCAGAUUUUUUGAUAAAAAUUGAUUUUAAACUAUUGAAAACAGGAAUUAAACAGUAGUUCUUUAAUCAAAUGCACUUCAAAAAAACAGUGAAAUUUUGCAACCUCACACUCUAAAAUGCUUCAAUUGAUACCAAAUUGGCUCUGAUACCAAUUGUUAGUCCCUAAAAACUAUGGAUCCAGUUCAGUAAUCAAUAAAUCAAAUAGCAAUCAAAAUGAAGUGUAGAAGGAGUAGAAAAGAGAUAACAUCAAGCAUUCACACAUCUAUAUCAUAAAUGUCAGGUAAACCUUGGAAAAAUACACACAUACGUCACUGACGUCUCUAUACAACUGACACAGACAGACUCUAUUUAUAGGACCACCAGCCGCACACGUGUGUACAACCGCACACGCGUGUAUGGCCGCACACAGAGUGUGCAGUCACACACAUGUGUAUGGCCGCACACAGAGUGUGCAGCAGCACACACCUGUAUGGAUGCACACACUCGCUAACAUACUACAACCAACAUAGCAAACCCCAAGACCCUACCAAGACCUAUACAAGAUGAAGCCUAGCUCAAACCCCAAAAUUAUGACCUAACAUACUCUAUUUUGUCAAGACCAAUUUUGUAGGCAAGAGAGAUUUUGUCAAAAGAUAUAACAUUUUCACAGUUGUUAGCUUCGGCAUCGACUUCACCCAUCCUUUAACUCAAGGAAGGGUAAAAUCAUGCGUUGUUUUAAAAUCUUAAGAUUGUCUCGUUGCAAAUAGAUUGACUCAUCCCUAGACCUAAUUAACUCUUUCUCCUUCUGCUCAAUCCACAUCCGCCUCUCCUCACUCUUCGACGAUAUCCUGCUCAUUUGAUCAGUCAGGUUAGAGUUUGUGACACGUGUUUGGGUAAGAAUACUACUUAUACUAGAAAAUUUAGAUUUUAAGCUAUUCAGUUCCUUUUCAUAGUUAGUAAUAGGUAUUUUCAGAGAAGUAAGAAUAUUUUGUACCUUCUUGAUCAACUCAUCACAUUCGUUGAUCUAUGCACUGACAGGUUUCGCAGCGAAACACCUGUCCUCUCGCUCCUUCUCAUCUUCCAGUCCACUAUAUGUUGUGUACCCUCGCAUCUGUUAUACACCUUCUGUCACCAUCAAACACCUUCCUGCAGUAUAUUCUUCUUUCACCAGCAUAGCCAUGCUAUGAGUCAGCUUUCUCACUUCUUCGUCCUCUGAAUCCGUGGACCACACAUCCACUCCACCAAACUCAUCAUUGUUACCUGUAUCCUGUACAAUCAAAGCAUUCAUGGUGUUAUUGUUAGCUACUGAUUUUCUUUUCUUGAUCUCCUCCAAUCGUCUCAGGAGGUUCGCUUCCUCAUCAUCCUCAUCAACCUUUUCUGCCUUUUUCUUCAGCAUGAAGUCUUUGGCAAAGUGAUUCUUUCCUCCACAAUAAUGGCAAUCAAAGCCUGAGUCACCACCAAUCUUCGUCUCCUUCUUAGAUUCUUCUGACUUUGAACCCAUCUUCGGUUGCUCCUUCACCUUUUCAGAACUAUAACUUCCUUGCCAGUUUCGGUCCUUGUUGGCUGGGAACUUUCUUUUGAUAAACUUUCUUGGAUUGGAAACCAUCAGGGCAUACUCUUCACCAGUUAGAUCAUAGUCAGCAAGAUCCAAUUAUUCUUCUUCUUCAACAACACUUUUUCCUUUUGAAAUAAGAGCUAAUGACCCCAAGCUAGAAACCACGUUCAUUUUCUUUGACACCGCACUUUCAUGGGCCUUUAGAAUUCCCACCAGUUUCGCCAGAGAAUAUGAUUUAAACUGUUUGUGUGCCAUUACUGUGGAUACAACUGCCCUUCAUUCGAGUCUAAGACCGUUCAUGAAGGUAAACUUCUGUUCAAUGACCUUCCUCUCGAUCCCGUGCUUUAUUGUCUUAUUGAGAAGAUGAUUAAACCGAUCGAAGGCCUGAAUGAGUUUCUCUUCGGGCUUCUAUUUGAAAUCGCCAAAUUCAGAAAGUAUCAAGGUUUGAAUCGAAUGUUCCAGAUCUUCAUCAGUAAAAUAUAAUUCUUUCAAGCUAUCCCAUAUCUCUUCUACUGUAGCACAUGAACUCACUAAUUGAAACGUGUCCGAUUAUAAAGCAAACCUAAUCAUUCUUAAGGCUUUGAUGUUGAACUGAAACUUCUCUUUCUUGUCUUGAGGAAUGUCUUUCAAAUCAUUCAUGAGCUGAUUGUACUCCUUUUGAGUUUUGACAAUCUUUGAAGUGCUUGAGUGAGCAAACGGACAGAUUGUGAUUGCUUCCCAGAUCAAGUACCCAUUAUCCUCUGAUCCGAUCACAUAAUCUUCGAAGUGGUGCUUCCAAACUUCAUAAUCCUGAGUGUAUAAGAUUGGAAUCCUUGUUGUUGAUCCAAUAUUGUUGGAGAUGUUGGUUGGAUUGGUUUGCAAAUCAUCCAUAGACAUUGUGAUGAUGUUUGAUCGAUAACUUGUUUAAGAUCAGACUUGUAAUUUAUGGUUAGAGUGAGAUCGACAGUUAAUGAGAUACGUUAAUAUGGAAUGACGACUCAAUUAGUAUCAAUCAAUGCCCAUAAUAAUUUCUUCAAUAGAAGAGAUGUGUAUGAAUUACACAGCCUCCUGCUCUAAUACCAAUUAAUGAGAAAUAAUCUCUAGAUCGUUUAGAUCUCUCAUAGGUAUAAUGAUUAAAAACAAACAACUCAAUCACAAUACGAAUAAGAACAUAGUAUGGAAUCAAUACUAAGCUUACGAUUCAAAUAUAGUCAUGCCUCAGCAGAGCUCGAUAAAGAACUUCCACUAUAGAAGCGAGCUAGGGUUUACAAUACUUUGAUAGGAAAGAUAAUAAAAGCGUUACUUACUAAGGAUGCAUGCAUGCACCUUAAAUACUACAACCCUAGAGUAAAUAUCCAUGGUUGGACAGGCCCAAACUGGCAAAAUUGGGCUAAGGACCAAGCCCAUGACGCAACACUAUAAGCCCAAUAGUACAAAAGACUAACCAGUUGAUCACAAUCAAGUUGGAACUGCACUCUUGGAGUUUAGUUUACUAAUUAUGCUAGGAACAUAAUGUACUUGUAUUCUGAAACAAUGUUUGUUUUGAAACAAUUUAUGUUUUCAUUUAGAUUUUCUAAACAGAUGUCUCCAUUAAUUUAUAAAUGAUGGACUAUUUACUUAAAUCUUUUUUCAUAACGACCACCUUCAUAUUUGGAAAUGAUUGAAAUUCUAUAUAUGAGACUAGAUCUCUUAAUGAGAUUUAUAAAGUAAAUAUCAAUAUUUUAUAAAUAACAAGUUUUAUAUGGAAAACAAUUUUUUACUUAUACUUGUUUGAAUCAAACAUAUCUUUGACAUUGUUAUUUUCAAUUUCUAAAUGACAUUCACAUAUUCCAACUUCAAGAAAUGGAUCUUUGAAGGCAAAUAAUGUAGGUUAAUUGAUAUAUGUGAAACUUAUUUAUAUAUAAAUUUCCUUAAUGAAAUGUUCACUAUGUAGUAGAGAAAAUAAUUAUUAACGAACUAUACACUAUGGUGUAUGACUUCGUUUCAAAUGAAUAUCUAAGAUUUACCACAAGAUGCCAAAUAUACUUUGUUAACAAAUAUAGUAGUUAUAAUUAUAUUUUACAUGGUAAAGAAUAAUUGUGAAAUCUUUGUUGAAGCUUUCAAAUAUAAAGUUAAGAUACAAACUGGUAAAAACUAUCUAAUGGACUUAAUGAUAAUAAAGGAUGAAUUAAAUCUUACUUAGUGUGAUUUACAUUCAAAUCGAUAGAAAUGUGCUCCUUUUAUUUCUUUGGGAUAACACCUAUAACACUAUUAAUUGUACCUUGAGUACAAAUACCAAAUAAUAAUUAGAUAAAAUAUUUUCUAUAUAAGAAUUUUUUAUGGAAAGGCUCCGUCCCAAUCUUAUUUAAAUGUUUUGUAGUUUUGAAACCUUUGUUGGACUAAAGCUUCUAAACCCAAAAUCUACUAGAUAUAGAUUUGUAUAAUACUCUAAAUGUUCCUUAGAUCAUUAGAUGCAAACCCACUAAGAGUAUGUUAUUUAUUCCUCUGAUAAUUGUGUUAGCAGAAAGCAAGUUUCUAAUAACAACACGAACGGGAGGUACCUAGAACUUAAAGCAUCUCAUGAACCAUAACCUGAUAUAGUAACAAUUGGCACUAGUCUUAACAAGGGACUGUUAAAAUUGAAUCAUAGCUAUUCACAAACACAAAUUAUUCCCAAUUAAUGGUAGAAAUCAUUGUUGACUUGAGAAAUGUGGAAUCUCUCAUUAGUGAGCUUUUAUUGAUGGUUUCUGGCAAUUCCAUCAAAUACCAAGAUGAUAUGUCAGAUCUCGAAUCUGAUUCAUGGCUUAGAGUGAUAAACAUGAGAUGUAAUUCAUGAAUAAUAAUCAAGUAUGGGCUUGAUUAAACUUUAUCCCUAUAGAAACGCUAGAAGGAUUAAGUGAUUCUUCUUGAAAGAAUACAUUACAUGGAUAACUAUACAAAUUUAAAUCAAUACUUGUUACAAAAAGAUUCACUCAUACUCAAGACAUUGACUAUGCCCAAGCCUUUUAUACAAGUAGCUAUGAUUAGAUCAACAAGGAUACUAUUUACUAUAAAUUCAUAUUCUUGACAUGAGAUAUAGCAAUUAGAAUUCAAGAAAGACAACUUUUCUGAAUAGACAUCUACUAGAAGAUAUCUACAUGGACACUCCUAGAGGCUUUCUUAAUCUAUGUUAUCUUAGGAAAAUGUGUGAAGCUUGAGAUCCACUUGUGGAUAUAAAGAAAACAUCUCAAGGUUGCAAUAAUCAUUUUAAUGUAAAACCACAAAGUAUGCUCUUAUAAAAAAAUGGAUAGAGCAUGUAUGUUUACUAAAAACUAGUGUGAGCACAAUUAAAUUCCUAAAAGUUUUAUAAACGAGACAUAUUUAAUCAUGAGAAAUUACAUUAUGACCAUAUCAAUCCUUUUCACCUUGACUUGGGAUCUCUUUUUUAGCUAAAAGACUAUGAAAUGACAAGAUACAUUCUUGGAAUGCAAAAUCUAUAGAGAUAGAGAAAAUGAGUAUUAAAAGUUUUAUAUCUUUAUGCAUAUAUUGACAAUAUCUUGAAGGACAUCAAGAUAGAAGAUUACUUUAGAGGAAUCUAGGCAUUAUCACACAACACUAAGUUUGAGCCAGCCUCAAAAGGACCUAACUCAUAGGUUUAAACUAGCUAAAAUGAUUUAUAUUUGAUUUUCUUGGAAAAUGAAUCCGGAAUUUAAGCUAUAUUACACAUAGAACAUGCUAUAUGAUCAUGCUAUGAGCAUAUCAUAAUAUACCAUGUAGAUACAUGGUUAAGUCGCUAGCUCACUAUAAGGAAAUUCUAAGAGUACUUUACAGUAACUAAGAAAAUGUAUAUGAGAUAAUUAGUUUAGAAUAAAAUCUUCAUCUAAUGAACUACAUAGGAUUCUGAUUUCUAAAAAAAUAUAGAUAAUUAUGAUUUAUAAUUGUAUUAUCACUUCAUUGUGGAAUGAAGAGUAAGUUUAGUUGGAAUGAGGUCCAAGAAAAUACGAAAUGAAACAAUCUACUACAGGAUAUGAAUAUAGUAGUAUAUAAAUUCAAAUCAAAAUGAUUGAAUGAAUGAGUUCAUUGAAAAACUAUGUUGAUUUCUACCUUACAAAGAUCACAUAGAAAUCUUUGUGACUUCUAGAGUAUAAUUAAUCAAGCUAAGAGACUCUAUGUCACGAAAGAACACCAAUCAUAUUCUCCAAGAUAUUUAAGUAUACCCAGAGUAAGUUCAAAUAUGGAGAUGAUAGUAUUCGCAAAAUUCACAAAAAUUAAGUUUAGUCGAACCCAUUAAUAAAUCCUUUCUUCUAAGCUAAGUAUCAAUGUUCACACUUUAGCUGUAAGACUUUAUUAUUCUACAAAUGGUAUUUUGAUUUGGAUAUUAGAACAUUGUGACAACAAAUAUUAUAUAAUGUUUUGAUAUACUAGGAUAUGAUUAUAACAUCAAUACUUGUUGUUUUCUGUAUUAACAUGUUUAAUCCAUGAAUAAUCUUAUUAUUCUAAAGGUUCAUAGUUGGUUAUAAUUAUGGGAGGAAUUACGAAAUAAGAUUAAUAUGAAUUAUAUUGGUUGAAUUUCACCAAAUGAAAGUUAGCAAUGGGCUGUAAUCAAAUUUCAUAGGUACUUAUCAGAGAACUACUAUUAAACUGAAUCGUUAUCAUGAAUGUUAAUUUAUUAAAAGGUACUAUAUUUAUAUCCUUAACACCUCGAUGCAUAGUGGCACUUAAGUGUAAAGAGUGCAGUGCUUUGAUAUGGUCGAAUGUUGGUCCUUAACCGGACAGUCAUAAAAGCCAUUUUUUAGGUAUGGUGUAAGCUAUACAAGACACUUAUGUAGUUAAGAUGGGAUUUAUUCCUCUUAUGUGUUAAGAUUUAUAUCAGUCUAAUAUGAAUCUUGCGCAAGUGGGAGAUUGAAAGAUCUAGUAUGCUCAAGAAUCAUAUUAAAGUGAUAUUUCUAAUUAACAAAUCAUACUAAUGCGUCUCACUUACAAUAAUUUGAUAUAAUUGAUUAUUUAUUAGAAAAUGAUUUUAAUAAAUGUUCAAUAAACUCUUAUAAUUAACUGGAAAUUAUUUAUUUAAUGAAAAUAUUAAUUUUUAUUAGUUAGUAACAUAAUAUAUCAUAUUGUAUGAUUUAUUAAGUCAUGUAUAUUACUUUAAACUAGGAAGAUUAUUUUUGUCUUUCAAUGCAAAUUUAAAGUUUAUAUCUUAUAAAGAGUUAUAAGAAUUUUAUAAACUUCUCUUCACUUUUUAUGUAUAAAAAAAAGAUGAUCUACUUUCUAGGAAAAAAGACAUGGUCUUUUGAAUAUAAUCAGGUAAAUUAAGCAUGUCUUAAGAGGCAUGGGAGACAUAUAGGAUUUAGGGUAUGGAGUUCUUAAAGUUUUAAGAAGUCUUAGGUAAUAAUUUAGCUUUAUGAAGGUUUUCAUUCAUCCAUUUUUACUCACCAAAACUAUAGCUCCCUCAUACUCUCUCAUAUUCUCUCUUGCAAAGAAGUGUUAGAAGAUUACUUCUGUUGAGAGAAAAACUUUUGAGAAACACUUGAACAAACGUUAGUGAAAGUUAUAUAUUGUGGAAAUUAGUUAAUCUCAAAGGAUCAUAAAUCUUAACAAUAAUAAGAUGUUAGAGUUGUUAGAUAGUUAGAUGCGGAAAUGUAAGUGCAUAAAAGUAAUGGAAAUGUAAAUGACAACAAAUUAUAUAUCAAGUAAACACUAAGUUAAUUCUUAACAAGGUUUGCAUUCACAAUGAGUUAGUUCAUGUUAUCUUCUUAAAGUGAAUGAAGUCACAAGGACUUGCUCCGAAGGAGAUAUGAUAGUGUGAUCUUCACGUAUUUGAGAGUAAGUUCAGUAAGUUCUUAGAAGAUAAGAAUUCAGAAAGAGAUUCAGAUAUUGAGAGAAUGGAGAUAUAUGUUCAUUCAUAGUUGAGUACUUUAUUUAUAGAGACUCAAGAAAUUAGAUAGAGAAUAAACAAAGACUAAAUAUCUGACUUAUAGCAACUAUGAAUGUCACUAGGUAAUACAAUGUAAACAACUAAGUCAAAAACAAAUUAACUAAAGAGUAUUUGUUGUGGAUGACGUCUUCAUAGAGAUUGCAGAUUACUUCUUCACUUGAUGUUGAGGUAGCAAAAGACUGUAGACUGAAGAUAUGAUUUUUUGCGGUAGGGGAGUUGCUUUAGAUGACUUCAGCUGACAAGUUUAAGAGGGUCACUUUCUUGAUUCAACAUUUCCUCCCUAAGUGUCCUCUUCAACUUCAUUACUUGUUGAGAAUCAAAAACUUGAUUAGCAACCACCAAAACUUUCUUACUUCACCAAACCAAGUGAUCCUCCUUGUAAUCUCAAAUUUUACUUCAUUUGUUGUAUGUUUUGUCCUUUGCACCGAAGUCAAGGUAACAUCUAGGUUUUUGCGGGUUAGACGAUGCAUGGUAGUGAUGGGGAUGAAGUAUUUGACAUUGUUGUUGGCUCUUUUAAACAUAACUCCCAGUUCCGGGAAGUUGGUUGCUCCUAUGGAUCGAUCUUGAUAUCCUUCAAUAAAGAGAGGUGCUAGUUCAAGUGCAGGGAGAUUGAAUUUUUUAGCAAGGACCGGAUGAAUAUCCGCAUCAAUCUUUGCGAAGUCACACACUACGAACUUAAGGUAGUCACAAGCCUACUCAUAUGCGAUUUUCAUCUUUGGAUGUUUCUUCGACUUCAUUUGAAACACCUUGGCAAUCAAAAAUACCUCUUCCGGAUUCAUAUAGGGAAGGGCAGCCUGAGUUCUGAUAUAACGGUCGCCUGUUCUUGUCAGUGCGUACUGAAUGAAUUUUUUCUUCGUAAAUCUCCUUAUCCUGUAACUCUUGACCGAGGAGGGUCUAUCGUUAGACCAUAUGCUUUCAAAGGUAGAUAUAUGCUUGGCGUUGAAUUUGUUUAAUUGUUCAAACUGAAGAGGCAGCCUUUGGUCAUCAUGGAGACUGCGGUCAAAGGGUUCAAACAAAGUGAAAAAUUUGGCGUUGGGAGAGAUCGGGAUGUACCAAUAUCCAUUCGUAGGUGGUUCUACAUAUGUCAGAUUUGGCCUAUAGUCUUCAUCGAGCAAACUUCUUGUAGGAUUCACCCAGGAGUUAAUCAGGGUUUGAUUCAUUGUCAUGUCAAAACCAUGAUCUCUCCAGAUUUGUUCAGAAAACUUUGUGGCUUUUCAGUUUGCUUUAUAUUGUUUGGUUGCAGGAGAGUCAUUGGAGUGUUCAGAAGACAGAGUUGGCUCCAGAUUUUUGAAAUGUGGUAGAGUUUCUUGACGAGGUGGGGAUUGAUGGAUUUCUUGAUGCAGUGAGUGUUGUUGUUCUUGAUGUGAUGAGUGUCGUUGCGGUGGAGGAGAGUGAUGAGUUUACACUGGAGAGGGAAGCUUUUGUGUGGCCAUAGUUACAAUUGGAGUUUGAUUAAGAGGAGAAUGAACCAUAGUUGUGUGUUGUGGAGAAUGUUGUGGAGUUGGUUGCUGAGUUUUUAUCCUUGGCUGUGAUGUACCAAAGUGGGAUGGACCAAAGUUCGGUAUAGGAAAUGUUGUUGUAGUUUGAUGGUGCUCCAGAUUCGAGUGUUCAGUUCCCCUUUUUGAGGAAGUAAAAACCUGUUGCCAUCAAUCUUAGAGAAUGUUUGAUCAAACUGAGAUUUGAUCAAUUCGGAGAUUUGAGCGUUGGAGGGGACAUCAGCGUUAAACAACAUGUUGUAAAUUUCCUUAGUUAACCGCAAUAUCUCAUCAACACUGGAGUUAGCCAUGAGAGAACAUCUCAGGCUAUUGAUUGUUGAUUGAAGUAUUGACAGGACAGAUUCAUACACAUUGUGUAUUUCUUGGACUAGGAUCUGAGAAUUGGCAGCUUGUCGAUCAAGAGUGGACUUGAUCUCUUCUUUGAUAGUUGUAACCUCUUGAAUAAGAGUUUCAGCAGUUGACAUUAAUUGUUUGUGAUCCACAGUUCGAGCGUUUUCCAGGGCUCAAAUACCCAUUUCAACUUUUAUUGAGAUUCUUUCAGCAGCCAUAUGUUCUCUGGCAUCAGACUUGAACUGAUGUCAAUUGCGGUGCCAUCAACAUUGAACUCAUGAUUCUCAGCAAUUGGAGGAUGAGAUGCACCAACACCACCUUGUAAUAUUUGAGCUUGUUGCACUGUUGCUUCCAUUAUGGACAUCCAAUCUUGAAUCUUGAGAAGGUCAUGAGCCGUCUUAGUGUUGUUGAUAGCAUCUGCCCAAUAUUUGGCCACGGUGUGAAUUUCUUGUUCCUUCUUUUCUUGUUGUUUUUUUUGUUGAGCCUUGCGUGCUCGAAAUGCCCUGCGGAAAGCUUCAUAAUUAAUGAUCUCAGAUUCAGUACUUGGCUGAAACCGAGUCCAGGAAUCAUCUAUAUAAUAACCGGUAAAUCCUAGUGUACGCAUCGGGGUGUCCAGGAAUCAUCUAUACAAUAACCGAGUCCACGAUAGUGCUCACCACGCCUAAACCACUUGAUUGUAAUGGUGGCGAAGUAGGAUUUCCUGAACAUCCUUGGUCUCCUUGACCCGUAAUCAAGUGUGGCCUCGGUUCGGUUCUGGCAAGGGCGGAAGAAUUUUCUUGCAGUUGGUUAUGUGUUUGAAGUGUGUGGGUGAUAGUAAGAAGGAUGAAGCGCAACUCCUCUAGCUCAAAGUAUUGAAGGUGACUUGCCCUGGAGACCUUAGGGCGAUUUGUACCAAUGGGAUCCUCUUGGGAUCCAACUGGGCUAUCAUCUCCAUGUUCAAUUGAAACAGAUGCACCUGAUGCAUCUAAGUAGCUAGAGAUGGUAGAUGCAAAUAAUAUUGUGGGGUCUCCAAGGACUACCGGAGUCUCUUGAGAGACUAUAGUAUUUGUCCGGUCACACAUUUGGCUAUGGAUGGGGGUAAGUUUGAGCUUCUUGCGUCUAAAGAGAUCGUCAGAUUCAUCACUUGUGGAUUCAUCAACAUUUAGUGGUUCACCGGGAGUUUCAGAUUGAGAAGGAGGGGUGUUAGCUGAGGUUUCUACAAACAUAUGUUUGUGUUUCUUGGAAGGUAGUUUACACUUCCUGGCUAUAUUGCAGGGAGCCUUCUUAGAGAAGACUAUUUGCUUGACACGCUUGGGCUUUGGUUUACCAAAGGGUCAUUCAGUAGGAUGGACUAAGGUUGUAGGAGGAUCUGUGGUUGUAGGAGGAAUUGCGGUAGUUGAGGGACCUUGGGAUUUGGAAGGAACAAAAAUAGCCUGACUGGGAUGAGGUGGGGAGGAAUGGUAUGGUUCUAUACCAUCCGUAGCCUCAAUAUGGUCAGUGACUUCUCGAGUUUCAAGACCAAUGGUCUUGAGAAUGUGGCCAGGUAAUCUCUUAAUAGGUCGAAAAUAUGAUUGAUCUUAGGAGAGUGUGUACCUUUUUAAAUAGCCGGUAGCAUAGAUAUUAACGUCAGUAUCCAUGUCAUGGUUUGUAUCUUUGUGAAGAUCCAAGAUGUUGAGGGACCAGAAGCGUAGAAAUGUGAGUUUAGUUGGAUCUUCUUGAGGGUUCUCCUUGGGGACAUAUUGUAGGAAGUCAUCCCAGAGAAUUUAGCCGUAGUAGAAUGGGUUUCCUUUGAAGAAGCUCCAUACCAGUUCGAGCAGUUUGAUUCCGAUGUUCUUUGUGCCUCUGGUUCUACCAAAGAGACUCCGGAUGACAUAGUGACAAAUGUAUUGCCAUACCAUACGGAGUUUUUUUUUUCUUGAAUUCCCCAAUUCCUUUCAACUUCUUCUGAUAACCCAUCUGGUAUAGGGUUGAUGUGAUUUCGUUGACACUUGGUGAGUAAAUUUAGGUUGAACGAAGAACUCUAAGGUUAAUUGCUUCUAGAAACUUAGCUUUAGUCAGGACCACAAUACAAUCAUCGAUCAAUGGUCACGUGAACUUCUUGAUGGUUAUUGUUUUGGCGAAAAGCGGAGAAUGCACACUUGAACAGGGUGGAUAAAGGAAUGAUAUCGAUGAAAGAGUUAAACGCACGAAACAAUGGGUGAGAUGAUAGGUACUUGAUCAUCAAAUGAAUCACCUCCUUGUAUGAUGGAAAAUCUUCAAACACACCCCUAGAAUUACUCGAGCCUAUCAUCGGAGAUUGAUUUCUGAUUGUUGAAUCGGAGCCAGUUGAUCGAGCAGACCCAGAGGCCUUGGAUUGCUUUUUGGAGAUUCUAUACUUCACCAUUUUUGAAAAGGUUUUAGAAAUUGCAAGAAAAUAAGAGAGCAAGAAGAUGAAGAAUAGAAAGGUCUUCGUAACGGUUCAGAGAGCGUAAACCUUUCUUGGUAGGGAAAAGAUUGUUAUACAACACCAGAUUUCAAAAGUUAUUGGAUUUAACUUAUUUGCAAUUGUUAAUGGUAAAAUCCUUUGGUUUUAACCAUUAUCAGCCACAUAAAAGAAAUUAAAUUAGACAUUUUGUGGGCUUAAGAGAUGUGACAUAUUAAUGAAAAGAUUUCUUUACGAUAUUUCUUUUGUGGGAAAGAGAUUUUUUUGUUUUAUAGCCCAGAAUAGGUCUGACACACAUAAGGUGAUUUGGAAAGCAACUAAAACGUUGUAUGCUACAAAACGGAUGUUUUUUUAUGAAGAUUUUUUUUUAAAUGAAGAACAUUAAAUAGCACACAAAGUCCAAAUAAUUCAUGAAGUGAUCAUUUAGUGUUAAUCCGGAUGGAUCCUGGUGACUGAGUUUGAAUGCAGUGAAGUGAAGCUUAGAUUGAGACAUAGAUGGCUGCGGUAGCCUGUUCUGAGAGAACACUUGAUUAAACACUUAGAAAUCAAAAGAAUUAUGGACUCGAAGAAUACAUAGAUCAUAUGUGAUUCCGGUACUCACAUGAUGCAUAUAUUGUUAUAGCAUUGUAGUGAAGAAUAAGUUUGAAGAAUUCGAAAAGAAAAAAAACAGGUUCUUCACGAGACUACGGUAGCUAUCAAUUCAAGAGGAAUUGUGGGUUAGGAUUCAUCAUUCCUAAGAUUUCUAGAAAUCUAUUCAGUUUAGUGGCAUCAAUUGAUUUUGUGAAAACAUCAGCUAUUUCCUCAUGAGUUGGAAUAAUAAGUUGUUCGAUGUUACCUUUAAGUAUGUGGUCUUGGAUUGAAAUGGUAUCGCAAUUCAAUGUGCUUCGUCUUUGAGUGGUGGAUUAGAUUGUGAUAAAUUGCAAUGGCACUCUCUAAGUCACAAAAAUUGGUACCCGCAACAUUCUGUACCCAUAGUCCAUAAGUUGUGUUUUCAUCCAAAGAACGUGAGAACAACAACUGGCUGCGGCCACAUAUUUUGUAUCUGCGGUAGACAAAGAGAUACAAUUAUACUUCCUUGAGGGCCAGUUGACUAAUCUUACUCCCAGAAACUGGCAAGCACCGGAAGUACUUUUUUGAUCUAAUCUACAAUUGGUGUGAUCCGCAUGAGUGAAGGCUUGAAGGCUAAAGUAUUUUCCUACUGGGUACCAGAGGCCUAGAUCUACGCUUCCCUAGGGGUAUCUUAAAAUUUGCUUGACUACGAUUAGAUGAGAUAUUAUAGGGUCGGCCUGGUAUCGAGCACAUAAGCCUGUGGCGAAGACAAUGUCUGGUCUGCUUGCGGUUAAGUACAUCAAUGACUAAAUCAUUCCUCAAUAUGUUUUGUGAUCAACUGAUUCUCCGGUAGGUUCUGUAGUUAUCUUGUAUCCAAAGGCCAUAGGAACUUUGGUCGAGGAGCAAUUGUCCAUUGAAUAUUUCUUCAGUAGCUCUGAGGUGUAUUUUUCCUGAUGGAUGAAAAUACCUUGAGGAACUUGUUUUACUUGAUAACCUAGAAAGAAAUUGAUAUCUCUAUUCAUGCUCAUUUGAAACUUGUCGCUCAAGAGCUUUGUGAAGUUAUCCACCAUAUUCUAGUCUAUUGAACCAAAUAUAAUAUCAUCCAAAUCUAUUUGGACGAGCAUUAAAUGAUUACCAUUUGCCCUUCUAAAAAAAUUGGAAUCAAUAACACCUCUUUUGUAUCCAGACACGACGAGAAACUCUUAAAGGGUUUCAUACCAUGCCCUUGGAGCUUGUUUGAGACCGUAGACUGCCUUUUAAAGCUUGAAACAAUGAUUUGGAAAUUCACGACAUUCGAAGCCCUCCUUCUGUUAACCAUUGCAAGAAGCAAUUUUGACAUCCAUUUGAUGAACAUUUAUGUUCUUAUGUGCCGCAUACGGCAAGAAGAUGUGUAUGGCUUCCAUUCGAGCUACAGGGGUAUAAGUUUCGAUGUAGUCUAGAUCUUCCAAUUAACUGUACCCCUUAGCAAGAAGUCUUGCUUUGUUUCUUACUACCGCACUAGAUUCGUCAUGCUUGUUCUUGUAAACCAAUCUAGUACCAAUGAUUAUGUGUCCUUUCGGCUUUGGUACUAGUUUCCACAGUCUGUUUCUUUCAAACUCAGCUAGCUCUUCUUGCAUUGUCGUGAUCCAGUCAGGCUCCUUGAGAGCUUCCUUGAUGGAACGGGGCUCGACUGCGGAUAUUAAGGCUGCAAAAUGGCAGUGGUCCAUUAAAUCACUAGACGAUUGAGUUUGCACACCUGCGGAUGGGUUACCAAUGAUUUGACCUGGUGGGUGACGUCCAAAUGUGAAGACGAGGUUGUUGGUGAUUAGCGGCUGCGGUAGAGGGAAUGUCUCCAAUCUCUGAACAUUCUUUGGUUGGGGAAGGUAGUUCCCCCUCGACUUGAGAGCAGCCUGCAGAAGUAUCUUAGAAUGUAGGAGCUUGCUGUAAUGAUGAGAUGAAUGUCUCCCUGAACUGCGGAUGGAAGUUCCCCCUGGAAAGAUGUAUGAGUAAUAACCCUUGGAUCUGAUCGUGUGUCAAUACUCUCAAUUUCUUCAUCAUCAGAGUCCAUGAGAAGGUACUAGAGUCGCAUCUUCUAGUACUGGAACCUCGAUGGUUGUCGUUUGUAUUGAAGUUGAACUUUCCCCCUCAACCGGCAAGGAGGAAAUGUUGAGUGACAAAUCAUCAGAUAGAGAUGGACCAUAUACUUCAGCAUGUUGUUGCUGUGCUACCGGAGACACAAGUAUUUUAGAAUGAUGUUCUAUUUCAAUAGGGUCAAAAAGAUCAUCAUAAUUGACUUCAACUAUGUUAAGGGAACCCGAGGAUGCUGGGAUAUCACUCUCCAAGAUGAAUUUUGAUUCAGCUGAGGGAGCAGUGUUGCGGACAUAAUAGUCAUCAGAUUUGACAUCGAAGCUUUCGGCUAUUAUCCUUGUGCGUCUGAUGAGAAACCGAUAGGCUACUUUAUUGGUGUAGUAGCCAAGAAAAAUGUCUUCAUCUGAUUUGGGUACAAAUUUGUUAAGGUGAUCGUUGUUGUUGAUCACAAAAUAAGAAACUAUUCCAAAGUUUAUUAGUAAACUCAGUUCCAUUUUCACUUCUGAUUCUUCUUACUGGAAGGUUGAUCUGAAGCUUGCUUUCUUUGAUGAAAUUUAUGAAGACCUUCGGUGUAUCUGAUUUGAGUCUCAAGAAGAACACCCAAGUGAAACAUGUAUAAUCAUCAACUAUAACCAGUAUGUAUUUUUAUGAUGGAGACUGGCUACGGUAGAUGGACCACAAAGGUCAAUAUGAAGUAAUUCCAACCACUCCAUUAUUGAAGAAUCGAUCACCAAGGGAUGGCUUCCCUUUGUUUUCAUUCCACAAUCACAAGUUGGGCAGAGAGAAUCAUUGUUCUAUUUUAGAAUAGGAAGACCAUGGAAACUUCUUAUGUGACUAAGUUGUUGAUAUACCCGAAGUUGAGACGAGCUAACUUGCGGUGCUACAGCCAAUUGACUUCGGGUACAUCUUUGGAAAGAAACCACAAUUGUGGUUUGCCAAUGAUUAAAGAAACGUCCAAAGGAUACAUUGUGCCUUAGAAUUUAGACUUAAUCAAACAAGUGCAUCGAUUACUUGUCAAAACGUGGGAGUACUCACUAUCAAAAUUAACUUUGUGGCCGGCUUUGCACAAUUGACCCGCACUGAUCAAAAUAUGCUUGAGACCUUCAACAUACGCAACCUUUUGAAUUGAGAAGUUGCCUAUAGUCAGAACACCAUAUGUAACACCUGGGUUUCAGGGCUAAGCAUUAGUAGAUGAUGUAAUAGUCUACGUCAAUUAUUGUAACUCUUUUUAAAGUAAUAACGAUGAAUUACUUGAAUAUUAUGUGCGUUUGUGUGCUUAUUACUUGUUUAUAAUAAUAUAAUAAAUAAAGAAUAAAAGUAAGAAUCAAAAUUAAAGUGUGAGAAGUUAUUACUUGUUUACAUAAAGUUGUAGUGGUCGAAACAAGGAUUCUGGGGAUAUAUAAAACGCCGAAAUCCGAGUAAUAACGAAGAAGUUAUGUCCCGUCAAAGUUUCGCGAGGGAACCGGCACGACACCGGAAUAUGUAAAUAGUGAAUUUACGAUAGAGGACUUUAUAGCCUUAGCAACCUAAACAAAAGACAUAGAAUAUGUUAAACCGAGAGCGUCCAUAAAAAGAAUGCCCAAAUCUGACUUCGUAUUAGGAAGUUUUGAUUUUUCGAAGUUUCCGCUUAGCGGUGUACAACCCGAAGUUCGAAUAUUAGAUCGAGCGGUUUUUAACUAACACAACCGAAACGUGAAUCGAAGAUCUCAUUAAUAGUAGCGUAACGAUAAAAAGCCAGACGAAAACGGACGUCGAAUGAAGAAGUUAUGAGAUUUUAAUGGACCAAUCAUGUCCCGACCUGUUAGUAAUAUAACUUUUAAAAUAAAAUCAAAAUUAGCCAACGAAGUUUAAAUGAAAGUUGUAGAGUACAUUACCGCCUACGUAUGGAUAUAAAUAACGUUGGAAACAGAGCUCGUAUGUGAGAGUUAUGAGUUUUUGAAGUCAGAGUGUGAAUUUGCGAAGUCUGAUACGAGUUGAUGAGGUGGAGCAAUCUGGACCCUCCACUGCUGACCUCGGUACCGGCUUUGGAUUCGUGACACUUAGCCUCGCAUUACGCCCCGCAUCCGAGCUCGGUGUGCCCAGCGUACGCCUCGCACUCCUCGACCCAGGAAGCUCCAUGUCGCACCUCCCGGAGACCACAACCUGUAACUUUAUCCGAAUCUACGCCCAACGUAGCCCUUCCGAACGCACAACCGAGUCUGAGAAUCUGGCCCUAUAUGAAAGGGUGCGAAGGCAGCCGAAUUUCUUGCACAUUUCCACUUCUCUCUAUAACUUCUUUCUCUCUCUAACCCAUUCUAACUCCCCUAAACCCAAGGGAACCCUCCUAGCACUAGAAGAAAGCCUCGGAGAGUCCGGAGUCUCCGAGAAAAAGAGUUUUUCGGUUUGUAACUCUGCCCACGCGGAGCCCGGUUUUCAAGCAAACUUCUCGGUUUCGUCAAAGAAGCUUAUUUUUUAGAAGUGAGGUGCUGUCCGAAUCACUCCUUAUCAGGUGAGUGUAUAGUUAGUUUCAUCUUACACAUGGAUAUGAAGUAUUUUAUAUAAAUUAUGAUCUAUGUGUAUAUAAAUGUUAUCUAUUUACCUGAGAUGUUUGUUGGAUGAAAGAUCUAUGCUUCUUCAUUUCAGAUAUUAAACUUUUUCUUGCAGAUCCACACUUUUUCAUCUCAGAUCUAAACUUUUUCUUAAUAUCUAAACUGUAUACUUUGAGAUCUAUGUUGGAUGAAUGAUUUGAACUUCUUGCCUUCAGAUCUGAAGUUUUUCUUCAGAUAUGGACCGUAUAAAUAUUUUAUGCCUUGAAAGUUAUGUUGGAUGAAGGAUGUAAACAUUGUUUUCCAGAUCUGGACUAUUUAUGUAUUUUAUGCUUUAAAAGUUAUGCUGGAUAAAAGAUGUAAGUUUUAUUUUACAGAUCUAGACCAUGUAUGUAUCUAAUAUCUACAAAAAUGUUGGGUAGCACAUGGGUAGAUAAAACAGUUGGUGUGUGGUGAAAUAAAAUGAUGAGAGGCCUUACUCUUGACGUUGUUCUAGUCAUUUAGUGGAGUAUGGAUGACGACCACAAACUUUUCUAGGAAGUCCAAUGGAACGCUAGCAGGCUCACGACCUGUAGGUGUUUGUGAACAAAGUGUUCACCAGUGUACUCUAUCCCCCCAUGGUUGCCUUACAAACACUUAUGGAUGAGGAAUCCCCUUAGCUGUAGUGUCCAUCCCGAUGAAAUUCCUUAGGAUAUGUCCCUUUUAAUAGAUGCUUUAGGGACAUAAGGUGAGGAUAACGGGAACGGGUAAUCUGGUUAAUGAUUGUUGAAAAUAAUAAACUUAUUUAUUAUGGGUUGAAAACCGUAUAUGCUCACCAAGCUCCCCAGCCUGAACCAUUUAGUUUCUUGUAUUACAAGCAGUGGCAAAAACAUAGUUCGAUCACCUGACGAGAGAUUAUGGAUUUGAGGCCAGAUUAUGUUUUGUGGCCUAAGAUGUUUAUUUAUUUUUGGUUUAUGCUUAUGGUGUGUAUCGAUGAUUGACAUCCCGAGAUUUUGUAAUGUAAUGAAAACACAUUUCUUUAAGAAAUGCUUUGAUAAUUUUAUACCAUAUUUUGUUUUAGGAACAAAUUCCGCAACACCUUUUUUAAGAAGUUAAUCUGAUUUUUAUUAAAAAGCAUAAACGAAAUUGGUCUUUUCUGGCCAUAAAAACAGGGAUGUCACACCAUAACCUCGGAUGAUACCAUUAGCAUUAUUACCGAAUAUGACAUGUCCACCAUUACAUAUAGGCCUGAAAUCACGAAGGUACUCUAACCUUCCAAUCAUGUGUUAGGAGCAGGCACUUUCUAUUAAUCACUCCUCUUCUUGUUCCUCCUUGCACAUUGCGUAUAAAAUUAAUGGGUUAGUUUGGGCACCCAAACAAGUUUGGAGCCCGGGGUAAAAUUGGAAUUUUUUUGACUUGAUGCAUGCACAUGGGUUAUUGGGAGAUGUUUCGUGUUAGAGUUGAGACCUAUGCUGGAUAUUUUGUAACUUUGGGAAUGUUACGAGGUUUAGUUGGAUGGAAUGUUUUCAGAAGAAAAAGUACAGAUGAAAGAAGCUUUAUCCAAACACCAGGUUUGCAUAUCGGUCCGCAGGGUGUGUUUUGAAUGUUUUGUCUAGUACAGGAAUGACUUUUGGUUGCAGAACCCUUGGAACUUGAAAGAGUGUUUACACGUGAAUUUCUCCAAGGUUUUGACGUAAAAGGUGACUGUGGUGAUUUUGUAGACAUAGGAGUUGGUAAAAGACCUUUCCAUUUUGGAUCUUUUAAGGAAUAAUUUUGCAAAUUAUACCUUUGAAAAGAUGUGACAUUCUGUUGGGAUUUUUGCAAGUUAGUUUUGAAAAUAUUUUGUAACGAUACACUCCCUUUUGUCUAACAUGUUGACUGCAGUGAUUUUUGAAGGAUUUUUGUCAUUGAUGUGUUUUUUCAAAUUCUUUUGUUUUGAAACUUUGGGAUGUUUGAAAUGUUUUUUAUAUUUUUUAUCUCGCUUUUUGAGGUGUUCUUUGAAAGCCACUUUGGCGUGAGUUUUUGGAGAACCGCAUUCAGAAAUGUUCAACUAUGGUUUCAGAGUGGUUGACUAUUUUGAAAAACGUGGGUCUUUUACCAUGGUUUGAAAAACUAGAGAGUUCAGGAUUUUGUGAACACUGACCAUACUCAAAGUUUUCAGUUGGUAAUUCAUGAUUGAAUGGGUUGUAUGGUUACUGAACUUGUGACUUCGGUCUACGGUAAGGAUGACUGGACUACCGUAGAAUGAGUUAAAGAUGGUUUUGUUUGGAUACUUUAUAGAAGAUAAUGAUGGAUAACUAUUGACUCAGUUUGGUCCUUCCAAAAAAAUUUCUUCGUCAACAUAAGAAGAGGAUUGAGAGUUGAAACAAUUUGUGUUAGUGACUGGUAUGAGAUCUGAGGAUUCAGGGAGAAUUUCCUUGAUAACACAGUUGUUACUCAAUUCAUGAAGCCUACCACAGUGACAUCUAAUGUCUUUGGGGAAUGUUUUGUCAUUGACAGGAAAUUGAAAUUCGCGAUCCGGGGGGACAUAUGGACAGUCUUGGUUAAAUCGAGGUGAUGAGUCCUUUGUGGUUGAGAACCCAUUAGACCAUCCCCAAUUGUAUGUGUUAUCUGUAGUCCCAUUGUUCACAAGAUUUUCAAUAGCCUCACUCUCAUUAAACAAUUUUUUGAUUACCAAAGUCAAACGUACAUUUUCUUUUUGGGCUAAAACCCAUUGAUUCAAGGCUAUCUCUAACUGUGUUUCGAACAACAUCCUAGCAUGUUUUGCUAACACUAAGUCCUUCUCUAACUUGGCAACUUUAAGUCUCUUAUCUUCUAGUUGUCCUCUCACAUGAAACACUGCUUGGGACGCUAUGUUCUUCACAUCUAAUGCCUUGUUAUAGUCUGAAACGACGACAACAUAAGUGUAAUUAAUUUUGUCCAAGAAGGGUUGACAAUCAUGGAUGUUGUUGUUAUUAGAUUGGAUCAUGAGUUUUACCUGUUUGAUGAUGCUUAGAGUUCCAUCUUUUGCCAUUAAGCAUUAGUUUUUCUCUAGAUUUAUUGAUCCAUCUUCAUCCGUAGUUGCCACCAUACAUAUUUUUCCUUUUCCCUUGAUGUUAUGAUCUUUAUCUUCAUCUCCGGAAGACCACACAUGAUGAUCCCUUUUUACAUGGGCUACGUAUGCCCUUGCCCUUUCUUUCUCUUCUAUCUCCUAUGCAAUUCUCAUAUAGAAUUCUUUAUCUCUCACCACAUUAGCUUUAUAGUCUUUAGCAAAAUGAUUUUCUUUGUUUGCAUUUGUGACAAAUGAUAACAUCACUUUUGUCUUUGGUUGAGGUAUCGGAGUAAGUUAGCUUGGAGGACUGCGGUGCCUCUUUCGGUCGAGUAUUUUGUGGUUGUGAAGACUGGUGAGGGUUUCUGGAAUAUCGAGAAUGAUUGUUCUGUGAAUUGGAGUUACGGUUGAAGGGUGGUUUGGUAAAUUGUUGAUUUUUGCAAAAAGAAUUUGGAGGUAACCUGUUGAAUUGUUGGCUAACAAGAGCAAUUGCAUUUUGGAAUUCAUCAUCAUCAUCAUAUUCUGUAUCGGCUUCGUAACACUAUGGUGGGUUAUCAUAUGAAAGAGAAUAAGGUUCAUAUGAUUGGGUAGUUUUGUUUUGUGGAGUUUGAGCUUUGAGAGCAUGUGGACCUCCGAAGUCUGCAUAAGCUUUUAGCACAAUUGAUUCUUGUUUCAGAAGCUCGCUGUAUAACUUGAAGAGAGAUAUUGUAUGAAUCUUCCUAUCUCCUUAGACAAUCAUAUUGGCUGUAGUCCAGUGCUUACCCAAACCAUUGAGAAACUAAAGUUUUGUUUCAUGAUUACUUCGGACGGUGCCAACAUUUGACAACUUGGUGACAAUAAUAUUGAAUCUUUUGAACGAGCCUUCAAGACUUUCACUUGGAUGAGCUUUGAAGAUAUUCAACUCGUUGAGGGCAAUGGUGGGUUUCUUGUCUUGAGCUUGCUCUAAACGUUCGUAUAAGUUUUUAAGAACAUCCCAAAUUUCUUUGUCUGAUUUGAAAUUGAUAAUGAUGUCAAAGUUAUCUGGGGCCACUAAAUAUGAGAUUUCAUAAAAGGCAACAACAUCACAUUCCAUUUUGUCAAGAUCGUCUUUGGUGGGACGAUUCAUUACAACUUGACCUCCACCGAGUCUAGCUUGAGUACCAAUAGCUUGAACAGGAGUUAGAAUAGGAACAUGAGUUCCAUAUUGUGACAACCCGAAGUUUAAUCUGUCAUUGUAACCUGUUUCCGUUAAUAAAACUCGUUCUUAUUGAAUUGUUUCGUUUGCGUUUUUGGAUUAAGUCAUUUAAUAUGAGACUUUUAUUAUUACUUAAUGGGUGUCGAAACACGUUAGAAACACGUGAAAACACUUUCGAUAUUUAAUUGGAAAAUUUUUAGUUAUGACCACGUCGGGUUACAAACACUUAAUCGGGUACGACCAUAAGCCUCGUUUAACGUUAGUAUCAGGUAGAAUUCCACUGUGUCUCAAACUUAAACCAUAUAUAAAGUUAAAAGAACUUCAUUUGAAGCUUUUUCACCCUCUCUCUACUCUCUCUCUACAAAUCCAAGCUUUUGAUCUAAAAACCACCCAAUUCUAGCUCCAAAUCUGUAAGAUAUCCAUCCUAGCUCUUAGAUUAACAUGUUCACCUUACAAAUUUGUGUCAAAAUCAUCCAAAAUGACCAAAAACAUGUGUUUCGGCCCUGAAACACUCCAAAACCGUAAACACACAUAAAUGGGGUUUUGGAGCCCCAAAACCCUCCCAAAUCACUUCUAGAGCUUAGAUACGACCUUAGGGCUUGUAUGAAUGGACUUGGAACACCGAAAACUUAACAUUUUAGGGAUAAACAUGAGUUUAUGGCUCAAGAACGUGCUUGGACCGUAAACACCAUUUCUUAGGUCGUAAACACCUUUUAAGGUGGUAAGAUGCCCCUUAGACACUUCCUAAGCCUUGCAAUGAUGUCUAGAAUCAACCACCAAUGUGUUAAGGGCCUUAAACUUGAACGAAAACACCCCCAUAAGAGCUUACGGCCAUAAAUCCCCCAAGGAAAGGUUCUUGGGCCGUAAACUCCUCAAAAGUGGUCAAAAGGUGCCCUAACUUCCUUCCAUGGCUUGUAUAUUGAGUUAGAAUCACAUGUGAUUAACCUAGGACCAUCAAAACACAAAAGGAAAGGUUAUAUAAGAUCUUAGGACCGUAAACUCCUAGUUUACAGCCGUAAACUCUGUUAAAUGGUCCCUUUUGUGGCUUAAUCACUUCCUAUGCCCUAGAUUUAAUCCUAGCUUCAUCCCACAACUGUUGUAUGACCAUUAAGCAACCAAGAACACACCACCCAUGAGUUUACGGCUGUAAACUCAUGGGGAAAUGGUCAUUGGGCUGUAAUCUCCUUUAGGAGUUUACUCUUGAAGAGCAAACUCCAUAUCUAAGCCCUACACACCCUUAGAUGCUACCCGGACCACUCCUAACACUUGAAUUGAAGUGUUUUCGUUCCUCGAAGUGUAUAUUCUUAUCUAAUUAGUGGUUCAAAGUCUAAUUAGAUACAAUUGUGUAUCUCUUCAUAUUACAUAGGAACCUCGCGUGUUAUCAAGCCCCGAACUGACACUUAGCAUCCUAGCCGACACAUUUCUCGUCUGGUGAGUGCAUACCCCUACACCUUUUUCCGUGUUUUAAAUAUUUUCAGGGGGGAAUACAAGCAAAAGUACAAGGAUAUCUUGUACUCAAACAUAUUAUUUCAUUUGAAUUGUUUCAUAUUUCGUAUACUUUUAACACUGGAAAUCGUAUUAACAACCUGUCUAACUUGUAAAGUUAGUUUUCAAACUAUUUGUGAAACUCGUUAUAAAAUGUCAUGUUUUAUAUUUCACAAAUGAUUUUUCCAUGUCAUUACUGUUAAAAGCAUUAGUUUAGUACAUUUGAUUCGUCCUCAGUAACAUUCCAUAGAUAUAUGCGAGUGGAGGAUCACCUUUGUAACAUGAUUUUUCUGUAUUUUUACUUGUAAAUGUGUUAUUCCUAAAAAUUGGAGACACGUCCUCGGAAACACUCCACAGAGAUACGCGAGUGGAGGACCGCCUCUGUAACCAGAAUCUCCUGGAGGGAGAACGUGACUUGAGUGUAUGGAUCUAUAUGGGGCUGACUACCCCGCACCUGGCUGCUAGCUACAGCCGGACCGAAAGGUCCAAGGAUGACGAAAGUCAUAAAAUUAUAUUGGACUACUUAUUGCCAUAUCUAGUCUAUCGUGUGGUUAUAGAACUCGCAAUUUGAAUAACAGAGAUUUACUUGUUAGUAAUAAUGAAAUUAGUGAACUAAUAACCUCCAGAAUUAGUUUACUACCCACUCGUUAGUUUUAUAUACGUGUUAAAACUAAUGCACUUCACAAGGAUAACCAGUUUUCAGAACACUUCUCUUAACACUACAAGUAUGGUAGAUACUUGUACAUUUCAUUUUGGAUUAGUAACCAACUUUUAGGAAAAUAAGGGUUUUUCUUGGGAUAACUGAACUGUUCAUAACCAGAUUUGUGUAACAAACGGAUAACUUAACUUUACUUAUAAGAAAAUAUUAGAUUUUCUUGGAUAACAAUUUUAUAGAAAACCAAAGGAAACUUGUUCAUUUUCAGAGCCCUUGUUUAUAGUGAACUAAGUAUACCAAACCUUACAUGGUAUAAGACCAUAAACACUAAAGGGGCCAAAGUGCUCUAAACUAAAAGAAUGCUUUAAAAUAUAAGUAUUUUCAAAAAGUAUACAAGUAUACCUAACCGCCGGAUUCCGUAAGUAUGAGUAGAGCAAAACAUAAGUAAUUGGGUGUUGUACGGUGCGGUUAAACCUGGGCAGUUAUGUAGUCGUGCCUAGGGUCAAUAUAGCCUAAUCAACUAUAUUCAUUCGAGACAUGGCCAACAUGUGCUUGGGAGUGACGGUGGUGUUCAGCAUGCCUAAAACAUACCCAAUACCCAAACCACGAGUCAUCGUCGCAGCGAAACAUGAAAUACUAUGGGAGUAUUUCUAGAGUCAACUUCGUUAUAGAAAUCCUCAUUCCAGCGUUACUCCUCAAUCAUUCCUUUAGCGAUUGUUUAUUUGCUUUGAUAACUCUUUCUUGCUUUAUCUCUUAAUAGAAUUCCAUAUCUGUCAUAAUGAUAUAUCUCUUGUUUCAUAUCUCUUGAUUCAAUUUAGAGGACUUACCAUCUUCUCUUUCCUGAUCUUUUAGAUCAUGAUGCCUCCAAGAAAGAGACCCAGCUCAAAGAACAACAACCCUGUACCACCACCUCCUCCUCAAUUUGAUCCUGUGAUGUUCCAGGCAGCUAUUACUGCAGCAGUAGCAACCGCCAUGUCCUAAAUGAACCUCGGUGGCUCCGGUGGUUAAGGACGUGGUACUCAAUCUCAAAACCAAGAAGGUAGCCAGGGACACCGGAAGGAGUGUUCCUACAAAGACUUUAUGAACGCGAAACCCACAUCUUUCGAUGGCACUGGAGGUGUCAUUACCCUAACUCGAUGGUUCGAGAAAAUCGAAUCUAUUUUCGAAAUUUGUGCCUGCUCAGAAUCUGAUAAGGUGAAAUUCGCCACUUGCACUUUCACCGAUAAAGCUCUGACAUGGUGGAAUGGCCGAGUCAAAUCCUUAACCUUACCUGUUGCCAAUGCUAUGGGUUGGGAGGCCAUGAAGGUGUUGGGUUUUGAGCAUUCUAACACUCCUAAGUGUACAUGCAACCCUAAAUACCUUGGAUCUAUGUUUUCUCUAUUAUACAUGCAAAUAAGAACUUCCAAGGUAUUAUCCUAAUCUAGCAUACAAAACAAUAACUAUAGCAAGAUAGAAUACAUACCUCUUUGGUGUAGAAAGUCUUCAUGAAGCUUGAGUGCCUAGUGCCCCAAGUGUGACACCUCAAAUGGUUCACACAACACCAAAUACACAUGGAAUGACUUGAGAGAAAACUACACUUCAUGAAAAUCGGCUAGCCCUUUCUCACUCUCUCUAGUGGCCGAUUUUUCCCAAGAAUGUGAUCUUUAUAUAGUGUUACAAUUAGGGUAAACUCUUAAUUGUCAUGGCUUUCCAUUUCCUUGGAUCCAUGGGUUCAAAUACACCAUGGAGCAUCCAUGAACCAUCUUAUGGGUUUUAGCCCAACUUGAUUAUCCAUGGAGCAUUAGCCCACUAUACAAGUAUGGAUGAUUUACACAAUCAACCCAUAUAUUUAAUUAGUCUUCUUUUGAUCACUUAAUUAAUCCUAGAUUAAUUCUUGAUCAAUACUAAUUAAAUAAUCUCAUUAUUCUUAUUAUUAAUAUACUAGAACUUAUAAUAUAUUAAUAACCAUAAGUGUCUUAUUUCUCUCAUUUAGUCUAUCCAAGUGCAUGAUGCCAUGCAACCCAAAUGGACCAUGCCGGGUCGGGUCAAGUCUUACCAAUUAUAGUUAUGGACUUAGACAUUAAUCCAACAGAAGGAACUUCUACUUGCGGAGUACUGCCCUCGGGGCGAAAUGCAAAAACUGGAGCAUGAACUCUGGAACCUAAAGAUGAAAGGUUCUGAUAUCGCCGCUUACACUUCCAGAUUCGAUGACCUAGCGCUUCUCUAUCCAGGAAUGAUUACCCCGUAAAGUAAAAAGAUUGAUAGAUUCAUUUGAGGGCUGACCCAGCCGACUAAAGGGAAUGUUUUGGCUGCGAAGCCAGACACCUACGACAAUGCAAUAUAUCUAGCGCAAACUCUGAUUGACUAUAGUGAUGACCUUGGGAAAGCAUCCACCACUCCUGAACCGACUAAGAGGAGUGGUGAGAAGAGAAAAUUUUGGAAGAAGAAGAAGGGUCAUCCUUCUCAGGAGUCCUCGAAGAAGCAGCAAAUUGUAGCAGUCCAUGCUGCUACUGCCCCUACUACUGUUUCUACUGUCGGAUCCACAGCACAAACACCUACUAGUAGGUAUGCUGGUACCCUUCCCCAAUGUGACAAGUGUAAAUACCACCAUAACCCCCGGCCCUUGCCGUGAACUAUCAUGCUCCAACUGUGGUAAAAAGGGUCAUACGAUUCGAUUAUGCAAAGCACCAACCCAAUCAACUAAUCAAACUUCUGGAGCGGGUGUCGGUCAGGCCUGCUACAACUAUGGUGAAGUCGGGCAUUUCAAGAGGAACUGAACCAAGGCGGCAACAAAUGGUAGCACCGAGAGAGUCCUAGCUAUGGGACGAGAGGAGGCAGUCACCGAUCCCAACGUUGUCUCGGGUACAUUCCUUCUCGAUAACUCUUAUGCUAGUAUCCUUCUCGAUUCUGGUGCUGAAAGAAGUUUUUUUUAGCCAUUCAUUCAAACAUCUCCUUAAGCAUAACCCCCAACCAUUAACCAAAACAUUUACGGUCGAGAUGGAUAACGGUGAGAAAGAAAAUGCUAGCGAUAUAUUCAUAGGUUGUACCCUUACUUUGAACGACCAUUCUUUUCCCAUCGAUCUUAUGCCAGUCUCCAUAAAGAACUUUGAUGUUAUCAUUGGCAUGGAUUGGUUGAGUCCUAAUCAUGCUGAUAUCCUUUGUUAUGAAAAAGCCAUCCGUCUCAAUCUUCCCUCUGGCUAGACUCUCAUGAUCUACGACGAUAAGCUUAGCUCCAAUCUUCGCAUCAUUUCCUGCAUCAAAGCUCAAAAGCUUUUGCAAAAAGAGUGCCAUGCAUUCCUAUCCCAUGUAAUCAAUGAGAAACAUGAAGUUAAAGACCUCGAGAGUAUCCCCGAAGUUUGUAACUUUCCUGAUGUCUUUCCUGAAGAGCUUCCGGGAAUUCCACCUGAACGUCAAGUUGAGUUUCGUAUCGACCUAAUUCCUGGAGCUACCCCUAUAGCUAAAUCUCCAUAUCGCUUAGCUCCAGCAGAAAUGUAGGAGUUAUGCAACCAGCUCAAUGAGCUACUCAGCAAAGGGUUCAUCAGACCGAGUUCCUCGCCCUGGGGAGCUCCAGUAUUGUUUGUGAAGAAGAAAGAUGGAUCCUUCCGGAUUUGUAUCAACUACCGUGAGCUGAAUAAGUUGACCGUCAAAAAACGAUAUCCUCUUCCUUGAAUAGAUGACCUCUUCGGUCAACUUCAGGGAGCCAACUACUUUUCAAAGAUAGACCUUAGGUAAGUGUACCAUCAACUACGAGUUCAUGAGAAUGAUGUUUCCAAGACAGUAUUCGGGACUCGAUAUGGUCACUACGAGUUCUUAGUGAUGCCCUUUGGUCUAACCAACGCACCGACAGUGUUCAUGGACCUGAUGAACCGGGUGUGUCGUCCUUUUCUGGACAAGUUCGUCAUCGUCUUCAUUAACAACAUACUAGUCUACUCCAGAAGCGAGGAAGAUCACAAACAACACUUGAGGUUAGUGUUGGAAACCCUUAGAUCCGAAAAGCUAUACGCGAAACUCUCCAAAUGAGAAUUCUGGAUUCGUAAAGUAGCUUUCCUUGGUCACGUGGUAAGUGAGGAGGGUAUACACAUGGACCCUUCCAAGAUUAAAGCGAUAGAGAAUUCGUCGGCACCGAAGACAGCCACAUAAAUCCGUCAAUUCGUGGGUCUCGCUGGCUAUUAUCGGAGAUUCAUCCAGAAUUUUUCCACAAUCGCCAAACCCUUAACUACUCUGACACAGAAAGGUGUACACUUUUGUUGGAGUGAAAAGCAGGAAACUGCGUUCCAAACGUUAAAGCAAGCCUUGUGCAGCACACCUAUCCUGUCCCUACCCGAAGGGACGGAGGACUUCGAUGUUUACUGUGAUGCGUCCAAUUAGGGCUUAGGUUGUGUGCUUAUGCAAACAGGAAAGGUUAUCGCUUAUUCCUCGAGACAGUUGAAGGCACACGAAGUCAACUAUACCACUCAUGACUUGGAGUUAGGAGCAGUAGUUUUUGCACUGAAUAUUUGGAGACAUUAUCUCUAUGGAACCAAGUGCAUGAUCUUCACUGACUAUAAGAGCCUACGACACAUCUUCAAUAAGAAAGACUUAAACAUGAGGCAACGGCGAUGGGUAGAGCUGCUCAACGACUGUGAGUGCAAAAUCCGCUACCAUCCCGGCAAGGCCAAUGUGGUGGCAGAUGCCGUUAGCCGAAAAGGAGGUUCAAGCCGCAAGGUGAAGACACUGACAAUGACCAUUCAUUCCCACUUAUCCUCUCAGAUCUGAGAAGCUCAGUUUGAAUCCCUAAAACCAGAGAACGUGUAGAACGAUGCCCUGAGAGGAAUGGAUAAGAAUCUUGAGAUCAGAGGUGACGAAGUCUAUUGUUUCAUGAAUCGGAUCUGGACCCCAAGGUUCGGAGGAUUCAGAGACGUUGUCAUGAGUGAAGUACACAAGAGCAAAUGCUCUGUUCACCUGGGUUCAAAUAAGAUGUACCUAGAUCUGAAGAAACAAUACUGGUGGCCAAACAUGAAAGCCGAAAUUGCAACAUUUAUGGGCAAGUGCCUGACUUGCGCCAAAGUGAAGGUCGAGUAUCAGAAACCCUCGGGUCUGCUUCAGCAGCCCGAGUUACCUGAGUGGAAAUGGGAGAUGAUUACCAUGGAUUUCAUCACCAAGUUACCCAAAUGUCUGAGUGGGUACGAUACCAUUUGGGCAAUUGUCGAUCGUUUGACAAAAUCCGCUCACUUCAUUCCAAUUAAAGAAUCGUUCAAGAUGGAAAGAUUCACGCGAAUCUACAUCCAAGAGAUUCUCUGAUUGCACGGUGUACCUGUGCCCAUUAUCUCCGAUCGAGAUUGCAGGUUUACCUACAGAUUUUGGCAAUCCUUACAGAAGGCUCUUGGAACUCAACUAGACAUGAGCACGACUUAUCAUCCUCAAACAGAUGGGUAGAGUGAGAGAACUAUCCAAACCCUGGAAGACAUGCUUAGAGCAUGUGUCAUCGAUUUCGGAAAGUCGUGGGACAUACAUUUGCCUUUGAUCGAGUUCUCAUAUAACAACAGUUACCACACCAGUAUCAAGGCUGCCCCGUUCGAAGCCCUCUACGGUCGCAAGUGCGGAUCCCCUCUGUGCUGGGCCGAGGUAGCGGACACGCAGCUAGCCAAGAGUCGAUCCCCCGACAGUGCACUCACUGGUCCUGAAAUCAUCCGUGAAACCACCAAGAAGAUCUUCCGAAUCCAAGAACGACUGAAAGCUUCACAAGACAGACAAAAGAGUUACGCCGAUAAACGACGGAAGCCUCUGGAAUUCCAGGUUGGAGAUCGUGUCUUGUUAAAGGUCUUUCCCUGGAAAGGCAGGAUACGCUUUGGAAAGUGUGGAAAACUUAACCCGAGGUACAUUGAACCGUUCGAGAUCCUCGCUAGGAUCGGUCCUGUAGCCUAUAAACUCCGAUUACCCCAAGAGCUUAGCAACAUCCAUCAUGUAUUCCACGUCUCGAAUCUUAAGAAAUGCCUAUCUGAUGAAACCGUAGUACUCCCUCUUGAUGAGAUCGAGAUCAAUGAAAACUUGAACUUUGUGGAAGAACCGAUCGAAAUCAUGGAUUGAGAGAUCAAACGUACGAAACAAAGUCGCAUUCGGAUAGUGAAGGUUCGCUGGAAUGCCAAGUGGGGACCCGAAAUCACUUGGGAGCGCGAAGACUCGAUGAAGCAGAAAUACCCGCAUCUCUUCCUAAAUCCAUGAUUUGUAUCUUAAUUUUGAAUUUCGGGACGAAAUUCCCUCUAACGGGGGGAUAAUGUGACACCCCGAAAUUUAAUCCGUAAUUGUAACUCGUUUCCGUUAAUAAAAUUCGUUCUUAUCAAAUUGUUUCGUUUGCGUUUUUCGAUUAAGUCAUUUAAUUUGAGACUUUUAUUAUGAAUUAAUGGGUGUCCAAACAUGUCAGAAACACGUGAAAACACUUUCGAUAUUUAAUUGGAAAUGUUUUAGUUACGACCACGUCGGGUUACAAACACUUAAUCAGGUACGACCAUAAGCCUCGUUUAACGUUAGUAUCGGGUAGAAUUUCACCGUGUCUCAAACUUAAACCAUAUAUAAAGUUGAAAGAACUUCAUUUGAAGCUUUUUCACCCUCUCUCUACUCUCUCUCUACAAAUCCAAGCUUUUGAUCCAAAAACCACCCAAUUCAAGCUCCAAAUCGGUAAGAUAUCCAUCCUAGCUCUUAGAUUAACGUGUUUAGCUUACAAAUUCGUGUCAAAAUCAUCCAAAAGGACCAAAAACAUGUGUUUACGGCCCUGGAACACUCCAAAACUUUAAACACACAUAAAUGGGGUUUUGGAGCCCCAAAACCCUCCCAAAUCACUUCUAGAGCUUAGAUACGACCUUAGGGCUUGUAUGAAUGGACAUGGAACACCGAAAACUUAACAUUUGAGGGGGUAAACAUGAUUUUACAGCCCAAGAACAUGUUUGGACUGUAAACACCAUUUCUUAGGCCGUAAACACCUUUUAAGGUGUUAAGAUGCCUCUUAAACGCCUCUUAAGCCUUGGAAUAAUGUCUGGAAUCUACCACCAAUGUGUUAAGGGCCUUAAACUUGAAGGAAACCACCCCCAAAAGAGCUUACAGCUGUAAACCCCCAAGUAAAGGUUCAUGGGCCGUAAACUCCUCAAAAGUGGUCAAAAGGUGCCCUAACUUCCUCCCAUGGCUUGUAGAUUGAGUGAGAAUCACAUGUGAUUAACCUAAGACCAUCAAAACACAAAAGGAAAGGGUAUAUAACAGCUUACGACCGUAAACUCGUAGUUUACAGCUGUAAACUCCGUUAAAUGAUCCCUUUGGUGGUUUAAUCACUUCCUAUGCCCUAGAUUUGAUCCUAGCUUCAUCCCACAACUGUUGUAUGACCAUUAAGCAAACAGGAACACACCACCCAUCAGUUUACAGCUGUGAACUCAUUGGGACAUGGUCAUGGGGCCGUAAUCUCCUUUAGGAUUUUAUUCUUGAAGAGCAAACUCCAUAUCUAAGCCCUACACACCCUUAGAUGCUACCCGGACCACUCCUAACACUUGAAUUGAUACAAUUGUGUAUCUCUUCAUAUGACAUAGGUGUUGGGUUUUGAGCAACCUAACACUUCCUAAGUGUGCAUGCAACCCUAAUAAACCUUGGAUCUACGUUUGUCUAAAUACAUGCAAAAUAAUAAUUUUCCAAGGUUCAUAACCUAUCUAACAUGGCAUGAGGUACUUUUAAACAUAAAAGAAUUAGAUGAGAUUACAUACCUUUUGAUGAUGAGUUCAAUUCCUAAGAAGUUUGAGGGCCAACCACCAAUAGUGUGAAUGCCUCAAAUGGAAUCACAAAUCACCACAAACUCAUGGAAAACUUUGAGAGAGUGUAUACACACAUAGAAAUCGGCCACACCUAAGUCUCACACAACUAGUUCCACUAAUGGCUAUUUCAUGCAACAUAAGCAUGCUUAUAUAGUGUACAUGAUUAGGGUGAAACCCUAAUAACCCAUGACCUUUCCUUUUCCAGGGAUCCAUGGGUUAAAAGCUCCAUGGAUCAUCCAUGGACUUCCAUAUAAGCCUAGCCCAUUAACAAAUGAGUGUUAGCCCACACUAUAUAAAACCAAUAGCCCACAAUCUAAUUAGUCUUCCUUUUAAUCUCUAAAUUAAUUCAUAAUUAAUUUAAGACUAAGACUAAUUAAAUAACAUGACUUCAUAUUAAUAUAUUAUAACUUAUAAUAUAUUAAUAAACAUAUGUGUAUAACUCUCAUAAAAUUAUCCAUAAAUAGUUUGGAUGAAAUGCAACCCAAAUGGACCAUGCCGGGUCGGGUCAAGUAUGUACCAAAUAAGUUAUGGACUUAGACACCUUAUCCAACAGACUCCCACUUGGAUAAGUCUAAUAACUAUAUUUGCGUAUGUUACUUCAGGAACCAACCAGCAAUCGUAGCUCUCGAAAACUCUGUUGAACUAUGAAGCGCCAUUUUAGAUAAGUGAUCAUAUAAUCCUCUGUUCUCAUGAUAUCAGCCGGACAAAUACAUGGAACAACGUCGUACUUAUUGUCCAGCAGUUUGUUUCCCGAUUUUCGAUUUGUUUGACAAAGAACUUAAUCGAACACAUCAAUUUAGUUCUGACCGGCCGGUACAUAGGUCACAACAAAAUCAUCGAGGGGCCCAAAUAUCGCUUCUAUUUCUAGAAGGAACAGAUAAACUUCGACUCAUAUGCUUGUUCUACUACUUGUUGAAUUGUACACAAAGGCACGUUUUAUAACAUCAAGUUACUGAUGCGUUUACGUGCAAUCAAUGCACAACCAACUCAUAGGUAACAACUCAUAUCUCUAGGUUUGAAGAUUUAUAUGAUAUUACCGUCUCACGAUCACUCGAGAUAAAUUCCAUGAAGUGAUACAAGUGAGCGUGGGUUUAUUCCAAUACUCAUAACUUAUGAGCACUCAUGAAUGUUGUAGCAACCAUUGCUAUGACUAAACCCAUUUAGCCAUCUACAAACUCGAUUCAUGACAGUCUUGAUUCAUACCUACUUCCAACAUAUGAACGACUGUGGAGUGUUUAAAUAACUUAGUCAUUCGGAAAGAAUAACCUAGCUAUUUUGGAAGUCAAAACAUGCAAAGUGAAACACAAUAAUAAUCGAAUCCAAUAUGGUCUCAGAACCCUUUUGAAUAUAAAUAGAACCACCUUUUAUUUAUCACCAUAUUGAUUACACAUUAUUCAUUGUAUAAUGUUUCAAACAAUCAACUUAAGACUUGAAUAAAAACAACAGUCGUCCCAUGCUCCUAGCAUGUACACUUUGUUUUUCUAAACAAUAGUUAUGCCAUACUCCAAGUAUGCACACUAUGUUUGUCUAUGAUCCUUACAUUGUGAUGUAGAUCAAUUGAACAUGAUUCCAAUGAUACUCAUUUCACAAUCCCAAAUCCUUAUUGUAAAUGUGAGAAUCCCCGAUUCCUAUCAUUUACCAAAAAAACUGUUAGAUUUUAAACUUUUAUGCAAUGUUCCUCUUGUAAUGAUUAUGCACAAAGUCACCAAAACCUUGUCACCAGUCAUUACAGAGUAUUCCAAAGAAGGUCAACUUCUAUGGAACGGAAGUCUCAUAUUCAAAGUACAUUGCUUUGAACAUCCUUCUUGCAUUAAGGUUUUCUAAUCUUACAUAGAUUGAAUAACUUCCACCUAUGGAGACAUUUCCAUAGUCCCAUUUUGACUAUCACUUCCGAACAAGAGUUACUUCUUUUCAGAAUAUGUCAAUAUGGUCCUUUCCGACAACUUACAUCAUACUUCCAACUUUCCCUGAGCAACCAAUCUUUGGCGAACCUCAGAUUGUCCUCGACAAUUGCUUAAUCACUUUAGUCAUAUCCAGUUCUAGACUUUUCCCUUCUCAAUGCCUUAAGCAUUUGGAAAAUUUAGAAAAGAUGAAUAUUAUAGCACAUGCAAUCGAUCCUAUAUCCGAAGCAUAUGGGACACGAUUCAUGAUGUUUGACAUAAAGACAUGAUACUAGACCAGUCUUUUGCUACAAUAUUUUUUAUUUGCCAUGUUUUCAAAAUUUAACUAUGAAGAGGGAUGCCGUAAUCAUAAUCGAAUUUUGAAAACGCAAUAUAUAUAGAAUUUCUUCAAGUUGAACCAUUCCAACAUAAAAUUCAUAUAUAUAUUCUUGACUAAAGAUGAUUAAAAUCUCAAUCUAAGCUUUAGAAUUGAAAUGAAGUAUAAUUUCCUCUCCCUUAAUUAUAGCAAAACAACUUUUCAACCCCUGCAACUUCACGAAUUGAAACUUUGUUUUCUAUAAUUAACAUUGCUAACUUGCAACACUAAACGUAAUAAUCAUGCUCCCACUAACAUGAUGAUUAUCAGCAUAACACUUAUGCUCCCACUAGCUCUGACAUAUUUCCAGAAAUCUGCUGGACUUCUGAAAUUUAGAUUCAUACACCCUUUCUUAGAUAGCUCACAUGUGUGUCUAAACAAUUUUCAGAACUAUGAAAAGGGAUGCCGUAAUCAUAGUCUCAAUUGCUUAGGCAUUUGCCAUUUCUCACAAGUCCAUGUUAGUGUGCCGGUUAACCACACGCGCUCCACUAACGACUUUUGAAAAUGCAAAUAACACAAUUGAUAUCUACGUAAAAUCUACUUAGUGAAAGCGUUUCCUCACCAUCAUUUUCAUGAAUCGGAGAGAAACCUUAUGACACUUAGAUUUUAUAGUGUAUGAGUUCCUAUCCAUGUGAAUUUGUCAAAACCAUAAUCACAAGAUAAGGUUAGUGACAAAUUCAGCCUUACAUGGAUUAAACUUGUUCAAUCUUAGUUUCUUGUCACCUUGGUAGCACAAGGCCCACCAAUGCUUCCAAGUUGAACUCUGAUAACUCACAUGCAAAUUCAACUUAUUUGAAGUAGGUACAGAAAUAAGAAUUAUGUCAACACGAUAGGUUGCAAACCUUAAGUCGUGUGCUAGUGAUAAAUUACAGGUUUUACUCUUGAUUAAAUCUUGAAACUCUUUCAGGAUCUUUAAGGCUCCCACUGUCCCCUUGACAUAUAAGUUUCCCCAGUCAAGAACCAUUCCUUGACAAAACAAAUAUUCAAGGGAUAGUGCGGAUUCUUAUCAAGACUAACACUUCACACAAUUGGUCUUAGUUGGUCUUUGUCUCAUCCAAGACAUCACAACUUACCAAUCUCAAAUGUACAAGAGUAGAAAACAUUUUACUCUUACAUUUGACUAGUGUUAAUAAAUCUUCCUUUAUGUCACUCAAAGUUACAAUCUUGGAGUAUGACUCUAAGAAUUGUUUUGGAACGAAGUAUGACUCAUCUUCUUGAUUUUAACCAAUCCAACAAUUCAUGACCUCUCUUCUUAGCCAUAACAAUGCACUAAGACGUCCUUAGAGUAUGAAUUUGUGAUAUGGUUUCAUAAUCAUUAAGAUGAUCAUGAAAUACGAUACUAAAGUACUCUCCCAUCCUUUCAGAUUUGAGAAACUUUUAUCUUUCUGCCUAAUUUGAUUCUUCUCAUUUGUUUUGUCAUACAUUGUAACCUUUCCAAUGUUACAGAAUUAUACUUAACCUCAUAAGUAUAAUCAUAUUUACUAAUCUUUAGUAAAUCAUGACAAAUCAAUCUUUGUGGUGGACCUUGACCAGCGCACACCCAGUGUACCUAAUUCCUUAGUCCUUCAAUUGACUCACAUAUACAUGUGAUCAAAGAAUUAGUCUUAAUUUUCAAAGAUGAAAAUUCUCAUUCAUCAUACAAUACAACUUGUAUGAUUCCAAGUUUCUGUCCAAUUGAAACUUGGGUGAUGAAAAACUUUCUUCAUUUGGUAAAUUCAGACACUACCACAAAUGAAAGAAUCAAAUCCACUUUCCAAUAUUGCUAUUACUGGAAACAUAUAAGCAACAAUUUUCCACAGAUGCCAUUGUAAGGAUAUUUUUAAAAUAAAUAAAAUUAAAACCCUUUUUUUUUUUUUUUUUAAAACUUUGCGGAAAAACUUAUCCUUACAAUCCACAUGAAAACCUUGUUGUUAUCUAUUCAUAAGCAAUAUAUUAUAACUCUUAAGCAACAGCUCAAAAUUCUGAUUACCGAACCAUGCGAUCGAAACCCACCUUCGCAAUCAGAAUCAACAUAUACUUACUUUAAGCUUCCUAUCUUUUCUUUGAUUCUUAAAAACAUCAGCAUGUGACCCAUUCACAUUAUGUAAUAAGAAUCUCCAAAUAGGAACUUAAUAGAGUUAGACAGUGGACUUUACCCGAAGUAGAGUCAAACCUCUUGACUUGAUCAACCUUAUGACCUUUCAGGUGAAUAGGGCAGCUUCGCAACCAAUGCCCCUUCCUUUGGCAACAAAACACAUGGACCCUUUGGUAAUGGCACAUGAGACUAUCUCAGACUUAGCCUUUCUCUUUACCAUUUGGUCAACCGAGUUGACUAUGGCCGAUCCCUUUCCAUUGGGAAGAGAAAUCCUUUUCUAGAUAUCCAAUGCUACCAUUGUCAAUGUCCAUUUAAGACUUGGGAAGUUGUUCUUUUAAUCAAAUUUGCUUUACUGGUGUUCCAAAUCAUUGCUGAUUCCACAACACCAAGCAAAUAGAUAACAUCAUUAAGGGUCAUGUCAUAGUCUGUCUCAUAGUAGUCCCAAAGAGACUCACUAUGUUACUAAGAAAGUGAUUGAACAUCCAACUUUCACGAGACUUUGACACCCAACUCUCCCGGCUUGUCAAUAUGUGACUUUAUCUCCAAGAUGUGAGCACACAUAGACUAUGCUUGCCAAUAGGGAUUGAGUGACUUUAAACUUUUCAAGAACUUGUGGGUGAGGGAGAAUAAUUGGAGGAGGUGGAGGAAGUGAAGCAUGAUGUUGAGGGACACCAUCUUCAAGAGAUUUGGGAAGAUCAUAGUUGUCUGAACCAGACAUCUAUAAUGGGAGAAAAUCAAGUUAGUUGAUUCAAAGUCCUUAAUAUAACACCCAAUAUGAAAUAUUAAGGCUAGGACCCAACACAAUAUUUUAUAAUUUGGAAGAGGGAUGCCGUAAUCCAAGCUAUAAAAUAUUUGAAGGUAGGCGAAUGACGAUUCACCAAUUUCCACCAUGAAAAACGAAAUAAUUUAUUAGGUUUUAAUUGGAUUUGAAAUUCCUAGAUCUUUUGAGAUUCAUUGAACUUUUCAAUGGCAUGUUUCAAUCUCGAGUGUGCCCUCUCAAAUUUUGUGACUGGGAUGCCGAGGAUCACAAAACAAGGUGUGAAUAACCAUACCAAUUCACUUGGUACCCUUAAUAUUAUCACCUAAUCAAUGUGCCGGUUAACCACACACGCUCCAUUGAUCUAUGACAAACAUUAAGUCACCCUUCGUGAUCCUUACUAGUCCAAGUUAGUGUGCCGGUUAACCACACACGCUCCACCAACGACUUGGUAAGGUACAAAGUGUGAAUUCCAUGGGCUAGCACCAAAUUCACAUUUUUCCUAAAGUAACUAAGAUUGGGAAUUAAAUAAAAAAUUUUUAGUUACUUUAUAAUAAUCAUUAUACUUUUAAUGAGAAUUUAAAGUCAUUGUCCUACCCGUUCGGCUAACGACCCUCCACCGAUCAAGCAAGCGGUGGGUGAGAGUGGACACCCAUUAAGUCGCCAUUUUAUAGGCAACAACCUUAUACCCACCUUAUAGACCGGCUUCGUGAAUGAGGCCUACUAACGGUAAAACGACUUGUUCUUAUACAUAUAUAUAAUAAUUAACCAUUAAUGUUAUAAAUAGUAUAAGUGUUGAAUUUUAACUUUUAAAACUCUAAGUGUUGGAAUUAAAGUUUAUUAAAGUGUGUGAAACUUUUCAAAUUCCAAAACUUGAGGGCAAGUUUUGUAACUAUCCAAAACUUUUCAUUUCAUAACUUAUGAAUUAAAGGUUCAUAAAAAUGAAGACUCUUCAUUUUCAUGUAACUUAUGUGUUUAAAUGUGUGUGUUAAAGAAAAGUGACCUUUGGAUAUCCAUAACUUGAGGACAAAUUAUGGACUCCAUUAAAACACAUAAAUGAUCAAGAAUUAAUUCUAAACAAUUCAGCAAAUAAUUCCUAUCAUCUUCUAAAUUCAUAAGAACAUGAACAUGAUCAUCAAAAUUUCAAGAAUUAUAUGAACACAUAAAAAUCAUGGAAUUUUGAUAUAUGCUAUUGUAAAUGGAUUAGAACAACCAUUACACCAACUAAAACAAGUUUUAAAACACCAAAACAGUUUAGGGUAAUGUUUCUAGUCCAUUUCCAGCAGCAAAAGUCGAAAUUCUGCAUUCUGAUCAUUCUACUCGCCGAGUGCACGAACCUACUCGCCGAGUAGGAUGAAUUUUGCCUUGAACUCGGCGAGUCCCCCCAUGGACUCGGCGAGUCCAUCAGCCAGACAGCAACAAUUUCAACUUUUUUCACUAUUUUGCAUCAAGUAUCAAACAAGCAAGCCUAGGCUCUGAUACCACUGUUGGGUUUUGAGCAAUCUAACACUUCCUAAGUGUGCAUGCAACCCUAAUAAACCUUGGAUCUAUGUUUGUCUAAAUACAUGCAAAAUAAUAAUUUUCCAAGGUUCAUAACCUAUCUAACAUGGCAUGGGGUACUUUUAAACAUAAAAGAAUUAGAUGAGAUUACAUACCUUUUGAUGAUGAGUUCAAUUCCUAAGGAGUUUGAGGGCCAAGCACCAAUAGUGUGAAUGCCUCAAAUGGAAUCACAAAUCACCACAAACUCAUGGAAAACUUUGAGAGAGUGUAUACACACAUAGAAAUUGGCCACACCUAAGUCUCACACAACUAGUGCCACUAGUGGCUAUUUCAUGCAACAUAAGCAUGCUUAUAUAGUGUACAUGAUUAGGGUGAAACCCUAAUAACCCAUGACCUUUCCUUUUCCAAGGAUCCAUGGGUUAAAAGCUCCAUGGAUCAUCCAUGGACUUCCAUAUAAGCCUAGCCCAUUAACAAAUGAGUGUUAGCCCACACUAUAUAAAACCAAUAGCCCACAAUCUAAUUAGUCUUCCUUUUAAUCUCUAAAUUAAUUCAUAAUUAAUUUAAGACUAAGACUAAUUAAAUAACAUGACUUCAUAUUAAUAUAUUAUAACUUACAAUAUAUUAAUAAACAUAUGUGUAUAACUCUCAUAAAAUUAUCCAUAAAUAGUUUGGAUGAAAUGCAACCCAAAUGGACCAUGCCUGGUCGGGUCAAGUAUGUACCAAAUAAGUUAUGGACUUAGACACCUUAUCCAAGAAUAGGAACCUCGCGUGUUAUCAAGUCCCAAACUGACACUUAGCAUCCUAGCCGACACAUUUCUCGUCUGGUGAGUUCAUAUGUAACAACGUAAAUUUUCAAAACAAAUUUUCAGUUUUAAAACAUUCAUUCACUCAGAAAAUAUUGUCAAAACACAUUGUAUCAAUUUUUAUCAUCACGAAACAUCUCCCCAGAAUCUCAAACAAAAUCUCCAACGCGUGUGUACGAGUCAUGUCGGCGUCUUCCCACGCUCAUCACUAGUACAUGAAACACAUAACAAAGCAACUGUAAGCAUAAAUGCUUAGUGAGUUCCCCAAAAUACCGCAUACAACAAAUACGCCACUCGAGGCUAUAAUACGACCUUCCGGUCGUUGUGUCUUAGCGAAACCCCCCUGUCCUGUAGCUCGUUGGACGCUCUGGUCCGAUCAUAGCUCGUUGGGCCCUCCGGCCCGGUCUAUAUCGUUGGACCCUUCGGUCUGGUCUAUAACAUCAUAUAACAUACAUAUAACACAUAGCACAUAAUCUCAUACAUAACACAUAGGAUCGUCUGGUCCACACAAUAUACCACUCUAGGUAACGUAUAGUGAGAAGACUCACCUCGAUGUGUCGGUAACUAUCUGACUUGGAAGAAAUGUGAUCUAGCCUCUGCCUAAUCACAUAAAGUAAAUACUCCCAUAAAUGCAACUGUACUCAACCCUAAAAGUCAACAAGGUCAACAGUCAAACUUUGACCCGACUCGUCGAGUGCACUAGCGCGACUCGGCGAGUCUACACGUGUCCACUGACUCUCUUAGUCCCCCUCUUGGUACAUCGAGUUCUUCCCCUGACAUGAAUCGCGGGGCCAACCCGACUCAACUCGCCGAGUCUCAAGAACAACUCAGCGAGUUCCACUUGAACUCAGUCUCCCCUGACUCUCCCUGACUCACCGAGUUACUCCCCAACUCGGCAAGUCCACUCACUGAGUGUUUAAUGGGCAACCUUCAUACUACUCGCCGAGUCUGUUCUUCGGACUCGGCGAGUUCAUGCCAUGCACAAACUCUAUACAGCUCCUGAGGUCAGAUCUGUUCCAUACAAUCAAAGAUUUGGCCUCCCCAAGCCUGAUAAUCAUGUAAAGUUCGGACCUUGGCACUCAUAUAUCAUCAAAAUGGUCCAAAAUGGUGAUUUAGCCCUAAAAAUGACAUCCCAAGCUCAUGAUUCCCAAAAAGGACUCAUAAAGCUCCAAUGGUUAACGCCUCUGGACCUCUUUGGGUCCAGAUCCAGAACACAAACUCGAGAAGGGACCAAAUGCUCUACAUAAUCAACCUCUAAAGGGGUUAGAAAACCCUAACACAAAGGAUCAACACCAAAACUGAAGAAGGUCCGAGAAUAAUACCUCAAUACAGUCUCUAUGAGCUCAAAAACCACCAAAAUCGGACCUUCUUCAGCCUCCUCUUUCCUUGGUCACUUCCUUCUUGCAAAAACACCCACAAAAGGAUUAAGAAUAGCCUCUCCUUCCUCACAAACGCCAUAGAUCUCUUAGGGUUUCUCUCUGGGGGUUGGUGGCCGCAAAUGACGGCCCUAAAGACCUUUAAAUAGGUAUCAAACCCUGGAAAUUAGGGUUUCAUUAAAAAGCGUGGACUCGCGGGUCCACUCGUGAAUCCGCCAAGUCCAGCUGUGAACUCACUUACGAAUCCGCGACCAUACUCGGCUAGUUUGGACGCCAACUUGCCGAGUCUCCCCAAAAAACCCAAAAAUAAAGGAAAAAAAAUUUAAUACCUGGGAAUCCGGAUGUUACAUCAUACCCCUACACCUUUUUCCGUGUUUUAAAUGUUUUCAGGGGGGGGAUACAAGCAAAAGUACAAGGAUAUCUUGUACUCAAACUUAUUAUUUCAUUCGAAUUGUUUCAUAUUCCAUAUGCUUUUUACACUGGAAAUCAUAUUAACCAUCCGUCUCACUUGUAAAGUUAGUUUUCAAACUAUUUGUGAAACUCGUUAUAAAAUGUCAUGUUUUAUAUUUCACAUAUGAUUUUUCCAUGUCAUUACUGUUAAAAGCAUUAGCUUAGUACAUUUGAUUCGUCCUCGGUAACAUUCCACAGAGAUACGCGAGUGGAGGAUCACCUUUGUAACAUGAUUUUUCCGUAUUAUUACUUGUAAAUUUGUUAUCCCUAAAAAUUGCAGACACGUCCUCGAAAACACUCCACAGAGAUACGCGAGUGGAGGUCCUCCCCUGUAACCAGAAUCUCCUGGAGGGAGAACGUGACUUGAGUGUAUAGAUAUAAACGGGGCUGACUACCCCGCACCUGGUUGCUAGCUACAGCCGGACCGAAAGGUCCAAGGGUGACGAGAGUCAUAAAAUGAUAUUGUACUACUUAUUACCAUAUCUAGUCUAUUGUAUGGUUAUGGAACUCUCAAUUUGGAUAACAGAGAUUUACUUGUUAGUAAUAAUGAAAUUAGUGAACUAAUAACCUCCAAAAUUAGUUUACUACCCACUCGUUAGUUUUAUAUACGUGUUAAAACUAAUGCACUUUACAAGGAUAACCUGGUUUUCAAAACACUUCUCUUAAAACUGCAAGUAUGGUAGACACUUGUACAUUUCAUUUCGGAUUAGUAACCAACUUUUAGGAAAAUAUGGGGUUUUCCUGGGAUAACUGAACUGUUCAUAACCAGAUUUGUGUAACAAACGGAUAACUAAACUUUACUUAUAAGAAAAUAUGCGAUUUUCUUGGAUAACAACUUUUAUAGAAAACCAAAGGAGACUUGUUCAUUUUCAAAAAACAAACCGCUUAUGAACUCACCAGCUUUAUGCUGAUUUUCAAACUGCUUGUAUUCUCAGGUCCACAUUAGACAGGUACCUCGCGAUCUUUUGGUGAAGACGGAGUGUAUAGAGACUCGUCUUUGCUUUUGUUCAUAUGAUGUAUACGUAUAAAACUUGUAUCACUUUACUUUCAAUCAAGUGUAAAUACUUCUAUGUAAUGUAAUGCUGUGUUUACUUCGCUUACUAUGUACAUUGGCUGUGAUACUUAACAUAAUGUCACCUCCGCCCCAGAAUGUUUCCGCCUUCGGUUUCAGGGUGUGACACUUCUUCUACGGAUCUCCACGCAUCUCUACCAAGUCUUCUCAGAUACCUCUCAAUCCUUUGGGACCAAUGAUGAUAUUCACUAGCAACAAGUAUUGGGGCUCGAUUAGAACCACCAACACUGUUGGAAUCAUUCAGAGAUAAUACUUGUGCCAUAUUUCCUUUGUUUUUAUUAUUUAAAAAGUUGAUAGAAAUGAGAUUUAGUUGUAUAGAAGGCUUUUCAAAAUUAGAGUUUUCUUUAAGAAGCAACCACUUUGGCUCUGAUAUCAAUUGUUGAGAGAAAAACUUUUGUGAAACACUUGACCAAACAUUAGUACAAGUUAUAUAUUGCAGAAAUUAGUUAAUCUCAAAGGAUCAUAAAGCUCAACAAUAAUAAGAUGUUACAGUUGAUAGAGAGUUAGAUGUGGAAAUGUAAGUGCAUAAAAGUAAAGGAAAUGUAAAUGACAACAAGUUAUAUAUCAAGUAAACACUAAGCUGAUUCUUAACAAGGUUUGCAUUUAAACCCAGUUAGUUCAUGUGAUCUGCUUAAAUUGAAUGAAUUCACCAGGACUUGCUCUAAAGGAGAUAUGAGAGUUUGAUCUUAACGUAUUUGAUAGUAAGUUCAGUAAGAUCCUAGAAGAUAAGAAUUCAGAGAGAGAUUCAGAUAUUGAGAGAAUGGAGAUAUAUGUUCAUUCAUACUUGAGUACUCUAUUUAUAGAGACUCGAGAAAUUACAUAGAGAAUAAACAAAGACUUAAUAUCUGACUUAUAACGACUAUGAAUGCUCACUGGGUAAUACGAUGUAAAAAAAUAAGUCAAAAACAAAUUAACUAAAGAGUCUUUGUUACGGAUGACGUCUCCAUAGAGAUUGUUGAUUACUUCUUCACUUGAUGUUACGGUAGCAAAUGACUGUAGACUAAAGAUAUGAUUUGUUGCGGUACAAGAGUUGCUUCUGAUGACUUCGCAUGACAAGUUUAAGAGGGUCAAUUUCUUGAUUUAAUAACUUCCUUGCAUUUUGCUCUCUUUAAGCCUUAUUUGGAUCUGGACUUAAAGCUUAAGAGGUUUCACUAGCAUGUACAUCAAGUUGGCUUCAUGUUGGUGUCUCAAAAUAUUCCAAAUUCUCCGUCAACUUCCAAGCCUCCCAAUAGAACCAAAGAACAACAAAGGUUGUUACUUCUUUACCUUCUUCUUUAAUUGUUGUUUUGUUUUCAAACAUUGAAAGAAGAUCCAUGGUGGUUAUAAACUUGUUUUAUGUUAUUCAAAAUCAAAGUCUUCCGUUGGUAAAUCAUAUCUUUUGAAAACUAGUUGUUGUAUAAAAAUCCAGCAUUUAUUAGGGGUGAUUGUGGAAUUAUCCUUCAGGUUUGGGAGUCUUAACUAGUAGUUCGGGAUUAUCAAAGGUCUAAUCAAAUUUUUCUUCAAGGUUUAUGACCCUUUUGUGGUUGUUUAACAUAGUUUUUCGUUAGUGGUUUGAUGUUUUGUAGUUAUCUUGACCUAGGGAAUAAACAAAAUGACUGUCACACCCCAAAACCAAGAACGGCAGAAACGUUCCAGGGUGGAGGACGUCAUGUGAAGUAUCAUAACAGUGUGAAGUAGUAAACAAGAAACAACAUCAUCCAUUUCAUUAAAAGUAAUUUUUUAAUACAUGUGUAUUCUUUCAUAAUGUACAACAAUAAAUGAAUAAUCAAAAUAAGACGAGUCUUGUCUGUGCUCCGUCUUCUCAAAACCUUGCCAUCGUACCUGUCUAACCGGUGACCUGAGAAUACAAGUUAUUUUGAAAGCGAGUAUCAGCCUAAAGCUGGUGAAUUCAUAAGUAUUUAAGUGUCAUUGUCUUCUUUUGGAAAGCUGUUAUGAAUGCCAUGUAAAUCUUUAAAUGAAACAGUUGAUAUAAGUAUGAAAAACCCUAGAAAAUCACAUAUUUCCUACAAGUAUGAAAUGUAGUCUUCUACCAAGACCCGAAUGUUUUGUUAUGAUAAUGAUAGUUUUUCCUUCUUUUUGACUAUUCCAAACAGUACUUAGUCUAACUCAUCGUUUAUGUUAAUGUAUCACAAAAUAAAGUAAAUAGGAAAAGAAUAUGAUAGUCUUCUACCAAGACCCGAAUGUUUUAUUAUGAUAAUGAUAGUUUUUCCUUCUUUUUGACUAUUACAAACAGUACUUAGCCUAACUCAUCGUUUAUGUGAAUGUAUCACAAAAUAAAGUAAAUAAGAAAAAUAUAAUCAUGUAAGUGUUAUCCUUUUGUAUUAGGAUUAACACGACGUCGCGAUUUGCGAAAUGUACAACCUUUGAACAUCCGUAGAUUGUUCUAUUAUCCUCUGUAGCUACAGCAGGGGAAAGGAAGGGUUAGUCCCGUAAUCGAUUUUCCUAAUAUAAGUAUUAACCGUAGGCAUUCGUAGAUGUUCAUCAACCUCUGUAGCGAAUAGUAGGCCCAAGGAAUGGUUAGUCCCGUAAAGGUAUUCUAAUAUAAGAAUCAACCGUAGGCAUUCGUAGCUGUUCAUCAACCACUGGUGCUAACAGUUGGGCUUCGGAAUGGUUAGUCCCGUUAGAUAUCCCGUUGAACUGGGAUAGGCAGGACAAUUUACACAGAGGGUACUAAUAAAUCAUCCUAAUGAAUCGAGGUACAAGUAUCCAUUUAAAUGUAUACAGGAGAAUGUAUCUAUGUGAAGGUACUCAUGUAAUGUAUUCAUGUAAGGCACUCAUGUAAUGUAUUCAUGUAAGAUUCUCAUGUAAUGUAUUCAUGUAAGGUACUCAUGUAAUGUGUUCAUGUAAGGUUCUCAUGUAAUGUAUUCAUGUAAGGUACUCAUGUAAUGUAUUCAUAUAAGGUACUCAUCUAAUGUAUUCAUGUAAGGUUCUCAUGUAAUGUAUUCAUGUAAGGUACUCAUGUAAUGUAUUCAUGUAAGGUUCUCAUGUAACGUAUACUAUAGACUCAUGAAUGAACUGAAUCUGAUGUAAUUCCUUGUAAUAGAAAUAAUGUUAUGUAUCUCCUAACUAUCCCUAUAAUAGUUAACUGGAAGGUAAUUGAUUGUCCAAACAGGUUCAUACACCCUUACUACACAAGAGUGUGGGAAACUGAAUGAAGGAUGAAAACUAUAACAUCAAUACAUAUAAAAGAACAUAAGUGUACAUAUAUAGUUUUGUUCAAGAAGGUAAAAAUGGUUUUUUUAAGACAUCUAAGAGUUUUGAACAAUAGUUAACAAUGACUUGAUGUCAUUUUAAUAAACAUUUCAAACGUAAUACUUUUGCUAUCAAGGUAUUUUUAAGAUAUAAAACCAUUUCAUGCAUCAGAUAUUCUAUUCUAGUAUGUGAAAUCUGCUGAAUGAAAACACAAUUAUAAAUACAUAUGCUUGAUUUAAUAAGAUGUUGUUUUCUACCUGUUUUCCCUCAUUUAAAGUAUUUAAAAUUAUUUAAAACAUUGAUUAAGUGGUAUGAACUCACCUGUUGUGGGUGAUACGGAUGAAUUGAAGAGGUAGGAUUGCUAUGUGUCAAGUGAAGUCUUGAACACACUUUAUGAUCCUAGUUAACAUAUAAUAUCACAUAUAUGUAACAAAUUAGUCUAUAAACAACUAAUAAAUAAGUCAAGACACCCUAGGACAUGCUAAACACCUUUAUCAAGUGUUAUUAGCCUCUAGGAUUGCAUAUAAGUGUUUGUAGGGGAAGCAAUUGUGUGUAGGGCUCAAGGAAAACUGCACCAUGAAGUUCACGACCCUAAUGACACUACCAAAGGAGUUUACGGUCGUAAAAUCAUGAGUUUCAGGCCGUAAGCUCACACUUAUAUGUCCAUUUUGUGUUUGAUGCUCUACAAGACCCUAAGAAGCAUUUCUACUUAAUGGCUUGGUCUAUGCAAGAGUAUAGGGCAUUAUAUAAUUCCUUUUGGGAGUUUAUGGCCCUGGGACUAAAUCCCAAAGAGAUUACGUCCGUAAUCUCCCUUGGAUGGGUGUUUUGGUGUUUUCAAGUUCCUAAUUCAACUAUGAACUAAACUAGGCUAGUGUACAAGGCUUUAGAAGAGUUUAUAGCACCAUUUGGCACUAUUGUUUGGAGUUCACGGCCCUGGAACUUCUUGGGCCGUGAACACCUUACUCUUUGUGUUCUAAUGGUGUUUGCUAGUCCUAAAUACAUUAGGGUACAUGUCUAAACUAGUCUCUUGGCUUAAGGAAGGCUUUUAGGCCAUUUUGACACCUAAAAAUGGAGUUCACGGCCCAAGAACAUCAUUGGCCAUGAACUCACCUUCAACCCUUGAUUCUUAAUGUUUUGGAUGUCUAAACCAGCUAUGGGUUGUCUCAAGGUUCAUUUCCAAGGUUUGGAGGGACAUUGGGCACACUUUGGCCCUUAUAAAAGAGUUUACUCUCCAAGUGUUCUUGGGCGGUAAACUCUCAAAUCUUGGGGUUUUGAUCUGAUUUUGAUGUUAUUAGGCACAAUCUAAGCCAUAUAAUACAACUAGAUAGAAGUACUCACGAUUUGGGAUGAAAACCCGAAGAUCCGUGAGAGAGAAUUUGGCUUUUCUCAAGUUGGAAAUGUAACUAAUGAAUAAAUAUGGUUCAUAAUCCUAUAUAUAGUCCUAGGAUUUUUGGCAGAAAAUAUUUUAUUCCCGAAAUGAACUCUAAUAUCAUAGAGUUUUGGAAUAACAUUGUUGCACAACACCCUAGUGCAUCCACUCUCCUGAUAUCACCAUAAGUGUAAAUCCUGAAAUACUCAAACUUAUACCCAAAGUAUGGAAUUUCACUAUAAAUGUUCUAACUUCUAUUGACUUGAUAUGAUUUGUUCAAAAUGGAAAUUUCGGGUUGUCACAAUGACGCUCCAGCUAAGUGCUGUGAGAAAAUUUGAAAUUUUGAUUGGAUGUUGUAAGGGUAUCAGAUUUCGAGGUACUUCAUUCCUCGAGUAAAGCUGUGGGGUUGGGGAUGUUAAGGAUCAAAGGUGGCUGGUGUGGUCUAUUUAUAGGUAAUUUUUGGUAAUAAUAGCGGCCUCACUUGUACUAGAUAUGUAAUUUGUAUGUGAGUCUUCGGUGAGGGCAUAACAAUUAUAUAAUGAGUUAUGGAUGAAUGUAAACAUACUUAGGUAAGGCCAUUGUUGGUAUUUGGUAUUAUCCUUUUUUGCAAGAUAUGCUUGGUUAGUUUUCAUGUGUCGAUGUUGAUUAAGUUCCUAUAGGUCGGUGGGAUGAUGGUCGUGUAUUUAUAAUCCUAUUAAAGUGUUGGUCGUUAGUUUUAAUGGCCAUGGAAAAUAAAGGUUUGAAUAGUUGUGUGCCAUGAGCCUAUCAUUCCAAUGGGUAGAUGGUGUCAUGACAUGUCUUGAGAAUGUGUAUGUGCGACUUGUACUAGUGGAACUCGCCAAUCGUGUUGUCAAGCUUAUUGGUUUCUGCUCCUUAUUUUACAUUGACACGUUUUAAGUGGUUAGACCCUUGUGGAAAGGCUAUUGCUGCUCAGUGUCUUGAAAGUUUUUAUUUGGACAUUUGGAAGUAUGUUAACAUGUUCAAGAAGUCGUAUUUAUGCACCAGAAGUUCCCUAUUAAUUUUAUGCAUUUAUGGACCUUUUUUUAUUUUUGGGAGUUAUUUAUUAUAAGUUUAGUUACUAGUGACGGGUGAUGGGGUACCGGUUGUAACAACCCGAAAGAUUUGGAUCAAGAAAGGUCUAAAUUGUAACCCUAUUACAAUAAAACCCUGAAAACCAAAAGGGCCUAAGUGCAUGUAUAGAGGUAUAUACACUUUGGAAAUCAUAUUUAUGAUAACCUAUUCAAAGUAAAAAAACUUUAGCAAGUAAAGACAAAAUCAAAUAGUUGAAACAUAAAUCAUGAACUAAUGCCUUGCCUUAUAAUCUUAAGCAUAGGACCCCAUCCAUUUAAUGAUUAGGAAACACCAAGACCGAAAUCACAAUGUAUAGGAAGCUCUAGGACCUAAAUCAACACCAUACAAGCCCACUAAGGCCGAAAACACAUUCUAUGAUCCAUUUAGGGCUAAAAACAACACUUAGUGGGGUGUAGGACCGAAAUCACCAAAGGAAAAAGGUGAUUUUGGUCAUGUAUGGCCGAAAACACACUUUGAUCCCUUUUCCAAAGUGAUUUCGGCUGAAGGAAAUAAAGGAUAAGGCUAGUUGAAUUUAAGAAGCGAUAUUUCACCCAUUCCCCAUGCAAUUUUUAUCCGGAAAACCUCCAAGCUCUUUUCCAUUAUCCAACAGUUUACUAGGUAAGUGUCACCUGAUUCCAUCCUUCUUAUACAACAAUACACAUUCAAAGAAACCCCCACAUUCUUUUUUCUUCACUUUAACUCCAACAUACUCUCAUGAACAAGUCUAAGAUCCUCCAAGAAAUUACUUCCUUCAAGUUAUUCCUAGAAUUUUGUUAAGCUUUCCUUGUGGAUCUGGUGUUUAAUUACACUUUCAUGCUAGUUUCAUAUUAUUUAUACAUAGUAUUAUGUGUUAAAACUCUUAGGGUAUGAUCAUUUUCCAAGAAAUUCAUCAAAAUCACUCAAGAGUUUAGGCUUGGAAACCUUCACACCACCUAUGCAGAUCAACCAACAAAACCAUUGAAGGUGAGUUCAUACCCCCACACUUUCAAGAUUUUUCAUGAUUUAGGGAGGGGGGGGGGAACAAGUAAACCUUUGUUUAUCCCUCAAAUAAUUAUAUAUUUUCAUCUUUAAGUUAAUGAUAAAAUAUUAUUUGCAUAAGUUAUGGUUUAUACUAGUUUUUGGUAUAAAUAUUUGUGAUAUACAUAUUGUUAAAACAAACGUAAUAUAUGUUAUAAAAUCAUAAGAAAAUUUAUGAUUGUAAAACUACAUGGUUUUUGGAAACCUUUUCUAAAAGAUAGCCUUUCUAGCAAAAAUGAUUACAUUAUAGCCAUUUACUAAUUUUGUGGGUUUUAACCCAAAAAUAUUAAGUUUUGAUUUCAUAUUUUGAUACUAGAAAAAAAUACACAUUCAUAUUUAUAUAAAAUAUUAUAUAUAUAGUUUCAAACAAACAAGAUAAACUAUAAUCGGCAUAGUCUGAAAGUCAGAAACCAAACCUUCAUUUUAGAAUUAUAUAUGACUAUUUAAAGAUAUACUUACUUCAUUUACAAGAAAAAGGAGUCAUAGUUCACGUAAAUAUGUUCAUGCUCUUCUGAUACAUUCUCUUCACCGUACCUACCUAGCGUACACCUUAAGUCCUGCAUUAUAAGUUUAGUCUCAUUAAGGGAGAGCGAGGCCGUUGUGUAUAUAUCUACACGGGAUUGACAACCCCAUACCUCAGUUGUUCGCUAUAGUUAGACCAGCAAGUCUAGGGUGACAAAUGUCUAUCAAUUUCGACGUCUCAAGAACGUCGUUCAGGCAUAUCAGUCAUAUCAAGCAUGGUUAUAAUAACUCACAUAGGGAUUAACAAAUCGAAUUGGUUUACAUAGUAACUUAAACUUCAAUAGUUUUAUAAAAAGAUAAAGCUACCUACUAUUUUUAUCACAACAUUACUUAUACAUUUUUCAUCUUAGGGUUUAUACUUAAGAAAAUAUUGGAUUUUCUGGAAAUAUGCAUUAUCAUUUCUACAAGGAAAAUAUACAAAGGAAAUACAUACAUCCACAGUUCGUACUUAAGAAAAUACUGGAUUUUCUGGAAACAUACAUUAUCAUUUUUACAAGGAAAUUAUACAAAGGCAAUACACACAUCUACAGAUUGUACAUAAGAAAAUAUUGAAUUUAAUGGAAACAUAUAUUAUCAUUUUUACAAGGAAAUUAUACAAGGGAAAUACAUACAUUUAUCAUAUUAAAGAAAAUAUUGGAUUUUCUAGUAGUAUACAAAGCGCUUUACAUGAAAACAUUACAAAUCCUUCUCACACAAAAAUGCUUAUGAACUCACCAACUUAAUUGUUGACACUUUUCAAAAUCACUUGUAUUCUCAGGAAAACAGUAGACAUGUGUUCAAUCCUUCUUGAGGGUCGGCGUCGUCGUUUCCGGUUUUCUACUUUUCAAUUAUUUGUAUUCAACUUUUGAACAAACAGAGUUUUGUAAACAAUGUAAUACUUAAAUCUCAAUGUAUGAAUGUUCGUGUUGUGAGACUCUCCAUUAGUCGUACCUACCUAACGUACGUGGUAAGUCUUGUUAGUUAUAACCAGAGUCUCCUGGAGGGAGAGCGAUGUAAUUUUGUAUAGAUCUAUACGGGGUUGACACCCCCACACCUGAGUUGUUCGCUACAGCUAGACUAGGCCAGUCUAGAGUGACAAGUGUUUUAAAUAAACCAACGUCUGAAAAACCUCAAGCCAGACACUUUAGGUCAUUAGUAUGGUUAUAAGGACUCACAUAGGGAUUAACAACACUAUUUUGGUUUACGGGAAGCAUUACUUCGUUAGUUUUAUUAAAAGAAAUGAAACUAUAUUCAAAUGUUUGUACACUAUUCAUUUGUUGGAUUAGUGUCUAAGUCCAUAACUAUUUUGGUAUGUACUUGACCCGAUGGUGCAUGGUCCUUUUGGGUUGCCUUCACCAAAGCAACUUGAUAGGAUGAAUUAUGGAGAGAAAGGAUUAAAUAUGAUUUAUUAAUAUAUUAUGAGAAUAAUAUAUUAAAGGAGAAAUCAUAUUGUUUAAUUAAUAUUAGUCAAUAAUUAAUUGGUAAUUAGUUUUGUGACUAAAAGAGAUUAAUUAAACUUAAGGGACUGGAAUUGUAAUUAUAAGAUAAUUGCAAUUUGGGCCAUGGAUUGCCUUUUAUUAUAAGGUGGACGAAUUCUAUGGGGGAAGCCCAUAGGAAAUCGUCCAAGGCCUUAAGGAAAGGGAUCCAUGGGUUGCUUAGGGCUUAAGCAUCCAAAUUAGGGUUUCCUUGUUAGAUAACCCUAAUAGCCUAACUAUAUAUAGAUCCCUUAUGACCCAAAAACGUGGCUAAGCAUCCUUCUAGGGUUUCACACGUUUUUGGGCAGCCUCCAUCCUCUCUCCUCUUCAUCCUCUUGCUCUUGGUGUUUGUGAACCAUUAGAGGAGUGACAUUUGUGACUCUAAGCUUUCUAAAGUCAAUACAAGGAGAUUUAGGAUUGUUAUUGCUACAUAACAAUCAAGGUAAUAUCUUAAACCCAUUCUUAUGUUAAUAUGAUUACUUGUAUGCUAGAAUUAGGGUUUAUAGUCUUGGAUAACUUGCAUGUACAAUAGAGAAACCUAGAUCCAAGCAUUAGGGUUUGUAUGAGCACAUAGGAUGUUCUUAUGACCAAAACCCAUCAGUGGUAUCAGAGCCUAGAUUGGUUUCUAUUGUAUUGAUGCCUUGUAUGUUGAAAAAAUUCGAUUUUUGUGGUUCUGCAUGAUGGACUCGGCGAGUCCCACUGUGGACUCGGCGAGUUGCCCCCUACUCGGCGAGUCCAUGGGGGUACUCGGCGAGUUCGAGCGUCAGAUGGAGCUAUUUUCGGGAUUUCUUGCUGUUUAUCUUUGAGAUACUUGCCUUUAUCAUAUUAGAUCAAUAUAAAUCCGAUUCUAUGAUAUAUAUGAGUAUAUUCUUGAUCUAAUUGAAGAUAUUUAUCAAUUAAAAAAAUAUUAAUUUCCUUAUGUGAUAAUUGACUAAUUAUUUUGAUUAAAUUGUUAAAUUGUUUUGCAAGAAAUCAUUAAAUAAAUCAAAUAUGGAUAAUUAAGUGAUUAAAUUUUAAUUUAGAUUAUUUGUUAUUUGAUCCUUGUGUUAUGAAAUGUUUCAUAUUUUCCCCUUUAGGUUUUAUAGUUUAAAUUUUAACUCUAAAGUUUUGUUGUUUUGAAAUUUAAAUAGUUGAAACCCUAAUGUUUUGAAAAAGGUUUCAAAACUUGCCCUCAAGUUUUGGAAUUUAAAUUUUGAUUAAUAGUUUAAUUUUGAUGUAUAUUUAAAUUCUAAACCCUAAUGUUUUGAAAUGUUUCAAAACUUGCCCUCAAGUUUUGGAAUUUAAAAGUUGAUUAAAAGUUUAAUUAGGAAUGUUAAAUUCUAAAACCCUAGUAUUGUUUUGAAAAAGUUCAAAUCACACCCUUAUGGUUUUAUUAAUUAAUUAAGGUGUAUAAUUAAAAGAGGUUUAAUAAAUCCAUAAAAGUUUAGGUUUACAAUUUAAUUGAAUUAAAAGUAUAAUUGUUAAAUUUGACCACCUAGUAUUUUAAAAGUGUAAAAUACACCCUAUACUAUAUAUAACAUUAAAAGUCUAACAUUAUAUAUAUGUAUGAGUAAAAGUCAGUCUUACCGUUAGUAGGCCUCAUUCACGAAGCUGGUCUAUAAGGGGUGUUUAAGGAAAUUGCCUAUAAAAUGGCGAUUGAAUGGGUAUCCACUCUUACCCACCGCACUCUUGACUAGUGGAGGGUCGUUAGCCGAACGGGUAUGAUGGAACAAAACCUUCCAUUAUAAGUAUAAUGAAGUAUAAAAGUAACUAAAUGUUUUCAAAUUCCCAAUCUUAGUUACUUAGGAAAAAGUGAAUUGAUGCAAUUCCAUGAAAUUACACUUUGCAUGGUUAUUCACACCCGCUUUGUUAUCCCUUGGUUUACCGGCACACUAAAUGGUUCUAAGCAAAGGUAGCAAAGGGUGACUCAAUGUUUGUCAUAGUUCGGUGGAGCGUGUGUGGUUUACCGGCACAUCGAAUAGGUGACUGUAACAUGUGAGGGCACCAUGUAAGUUUGCAUGGUUAUUCACACCCGCUUUGUGAUCCUCGGCAUCCCAGUCACAAACAAGAGGGGCAUAUCGAGAUUUAAACAUGCCAUUGAAAUGUUCAAUGAAUCUCAAAGGAUCUAGGAGUUUUCAUAGAUUUAAAACUUAAAUUUCUUUUUCGUUUUUCAUGGUGGAAAUUAGUGAAUCGUCAUUCACUUACCUUCAAAUGUUCUGCAAUUUGGGUUACGGCAUCCCUCUCCCGAGUUGUAGAAUAUUGUGUUGGGUCCUAGCCUUAGUAUCUCAUUUGGGUGAUUUACUAAGGACUCAAUCAAUCAACUAACUUGAAUUCGUUUUCUCCCGUUUUGUAGAUGUCAAAGUUCGACAACUAUGGUCUUCCCAAAUCCCGUGGAACAAGCAUUCCACAUGAAGAUGAUAUUCCACGAUUCGAUCGAGGAACAAGAAAUCAUGCUUCACUUCCUCCACCUCCUCCAAUUAUUCUCCCUAACCCACAAGUUCAAAGGCUUGAAAAGUUCAAGAUCACUCAAGCCCUUUUGGCAAGUAAACAUAAAGAAGGAAAGUCGGUGUGUGCACACGUCCUAGGGAUGAAGUCACACAUUGAUAGGUUAAGAAUGUUGGGAUCCGUUGUCUGUGAGGAAAUGGCUGUUGAUUGGGUUCUUCAGUCACUUCCUAACUCAUAUAGUGAGUUCGUAAGAGAGUACUAUAUGAUGAACCACGACGUGACCCUUAUAGAUCUCACCUAUAUGCUUAUUGCUGCUGAAUCAGCAAUGGUUUGGCGCAAUAGAAAAGCAAAGUUGAUUGGUGAAUCUGCCUUCAAGACCUCUAUGGAUAUAGACAAUGGCAACGAAAGACAUGCUAUGAUCGAAAAGUUUGAUCAUAAGAGAAAGGCAAUGUCUGAAGUAGUUCCAUGUCAUGUUCCAAAAGAGUCAAUUUGCUUUUAUUGCCAAGAGAAAGGGCAUUGGAGACGAAGCUGCCCCAUUUACCUAAGAGAUCUAAGAGAUGGGAGAGUCGAAACGUAUGGCUCUAAUAUAGGUAAAAUCCAUUAACUAACUCUUUUAAGCUUCUAUUCUAGAUUCUUAAUACAUAAUGUGAUAAGAUUACAAUUGAUGUUUUGUAGGAUCGAAGAAAAGAAAGGAAGCUUAAGGGAAGAAGUGAGCAGAAUCUAACCGUGAAGGAAUGGAUUUCGAUCGCAUUUCUCGAAGAUUAGAUUCUUGAGCUACUACUUAGAGUUAGAAUUAGAUUGCUAAGAAAGAUGUAUUAGCAUAGUUUUUCAAUGAAUUGCAUUGUAAGGACAAAUUUUUCCGCAAUAAAAUAAAUUUUGAUUUUAAAUUUUAUUUAUUUAUCCUUACAAUGGCGUGUAUGAAAAAUUGAUGUUAAAAUGUUUCUAUUAUUAGCAAUAAUGGAUUUGGUUCUUAUUAUGUUAUUUAUGGAAAGUCGAGAAUUUACCAAAUAGGGAGAGUUUCUCAUCGCCCAAGUUUCAAUUGGACAGAAACUUGGAAUCAUGCAACUUGGUUGCACGAUGAAUGAGAAAUUUCAUAUUUGGAAAUUAGACUAAUUCAUUGACAAAGUGUCAAGUGAAGGACUAGGAGAUCGAGUACACAAAGUUGCGUGUUGAUCAAGUCCACCAUAAGAGUAACAAAGAUAUUCGUCAUGAUUUACUAAAGGUUUAGUAAAUAUGAUUAUACUUAUAAGAUUAAGUGUAAUUCUGAAUUGAUUGAAAAAGUUUAAAUCAAUAGCAGAACGAAUAAGAAGAAUCAAGUAGGCAGAAAGAUAAAAGUUUCUCCAUUCUAAGAAGAAGGGAGAGUACCUUUUAUGCUUUAUGAUAGGUCUUAAUGAUUAAGAACCAUAUCUCAAUUGAUCCUCUAAGUGAGUCUUAGUACAAUUGUAUGUCUAAGAAGAGGAAUCAAGAAUUGAAGAAAUGGUUAAAUCAAGAAGUCAAUCAUACUUCGUUCCAAAACAAGUCUUAGAGUUAAGAUUGUGACAUUGAGUGAUAAGUAUUAAGAAGGUUUAUAACAUUCAUCAAAUGUAGAAUAUGGAAAAAGGUUUUCUUAUUCUUGCACAUUUGAAAUUGGUAAGUUGUGAUGUCUUGGAUAAGACAAAGACCAACUAGGACCAAUUUAUGAAGUAUUUUGAUAAAAGCUACACUAACUCUUGAAUAUUUGUUUGUCAAGAAAUGGUUAUUGACAAGAGAAUCUUAUAUGUCAAGGAUUCAGUGGGAGUCUUAAUGGUCUUGAAAGGUUUCAAGAACAAAUCAAAUAAACCUUAUCGAUCAUCACUAGCACACGAGUUGAGGUUUACAACCUAUCGUGUUGACAUUAUUUCUGUGCCACUCCAAUUAAGUUAAUUAUGCAUGUGAGUUCCAUGAGUUCUCAUUUGAAUGCAUAAAAGGCAAGGACCUUGAUCAAUGAAAAGUACAUCGAUAGGAAAGGGUGAGCUGCUUGACUACUUGGAAGACAUGGUGGGCAACUGUGCUACCAUAAGGCAAGAAAUCAAGGUUAAGAAAGUUUGGUCCAUAUGUGUUUGAAUUUGUCGUGAACUUUGAUUUUGACAAAUUAACAUGGAUAGGAACACAUACACCAUUAAAAUCUAAGUGUCAUAAGAUUCCCUCCUGCAUGAAAAUGACUACGAGGAAAUACUUUCACUAAGAAAGAUUUUAAAAAGAUAGUGAUUGUAAAAUUGCAUUCUCGAAUUCGAUUACGGUUACGGUAUCCCUUUCCAUAAUUUGAAUUGUGAAGUUUGGAAAUUAGUCUUAAUUGUUUAGACACACAUAUGAACUAUCUAAGGCAAAGGUGUAUAUGUUCAAGAAGCCUUGAUAAAAGAUUAUCAAAGCACUAAGCAUUAGAAACAUGAACUUAAGAAAUUCAAUAAGCAUUGUUUUUCUGAAAGUUAAGAUGUUUAUGAAUACAUGUCGAAGCUAGUGG